UUGUCAUCCGGUAGAAAAUACAAUCAACCCACACAUGAUCUUUAGAACAGAGUGAAGCGUGUUAAUUUUAGCUGAUUUUUCUUGUUUGCUAUUGUAAGCAGAAGAGAUUGGAUCAGAUGCAUGCGACAAACAGGUUAGCAAGACAUGGCCGAAAUACUUACCAUGUGUUGUGAACGGCAAAUGCAACGACCCUUGCAAGAACGAGGGGUUCGACAGCGGCCGGUGCACGAAAUUUACUACAUGCUUAUGCUAUAGGAACUGCACCGGUGUACGGCGAUUGCUGUAGCGAUAUAUAUUUAUUGAAUAAAUAAAUCAAGAAGCUCCUUAGACAGAUUUGUAUGCUUUUAUUUUUAAGAAAAGAACUAAAGAAACACGACACCGGUUGAAAAGGCAGGACUCCAAGCGGUCGGCUCCAACUUAUCUUAUUGGUUUUCCUACUGCCUCGUAUUCACGCAUGCAUGACCAGGGCUUCAAACAUACAGUGGAUCUCCUAUUUUAUUUUUAACCAAGAACUAGUAAAAUGCCGUGCGCUACUACGGGAGCGUGAAUAUUUUAGUAGGUCGCUCCUAUUAAAAUAGGUUGUUACGAGUAACGUGUGAAAUUUUUAACAUGAGGAGGUGUUGGGAUGUAAACGAAUCAGACCGGAUUUUUUCUCUACCAUAUUUUUUCUCGAGUUUAGGUCAGAUCGAAUAAUGAACAGUUUCGGAUUCGGUGGCGGAUAUAAAUAAUCAUGGAUUCGAAACGGAAACAUAGCGGAUUCGGGGCGUAAAUAAAAUUAAUCGGAUCGGUACGCGCAAUGUACAUCAUCAACCCACAAAACCAAAAAUAAUGGCUCAACAACUUAAUAAACUAACAAAGUUUUAUUUCAUAGCGGAAACUGUCUUUUAUUCCCGGACACCAGUGCUCCUGUCACUAAAAAAAUUCAAAAAUCGUAUUUAUUAGUGUCAAAAAAUUCUGAAAACAAAUAUGGACGUUGCCAAUAUUAUAUCCCACGAAUGUGUAAAUUUUCAAUCUGAUAUACCUUAUAUUUUGGGCUACACAAAAAUAACAAAUCUGAUAGAAUUUGGAGAUUUGAAAAUAUGCAUACUUGGAUCUACACUUUUGUGAUUUUUGUGUAGCUAAAAAUACAACGUAUUUGAAUUUGAUAUCUUACAUGUUCAUGGGAUAUAUCAUUAACUCUCUCCAAUUUUAUUUUCAGAAUUUGCUAAAAAUUAUAAAUAUGAUUUUCGAAUGGAUUGGUCGCGGCGAAGCAAACCGUGUGGAAUAGUCACUAGUAGAAAACAGGGCUUCCAUAAGGUCCUUUUGUCUCAGCCAUUAUUGGAACCGGGACUAAUGGGAGCAUUAGUCCCAGUUCCAGCGGCGAGGAGGUCGGCUAGCACCAGUCACUGUUCCUAGGGGACCUUUAGUCCCGCUUGGUAAUACCAACCAAGACUAAAGGGGGUGCGGCAGGCCACCGCAGUGUGGGGCCCAGCGCGAGAACCUUUAGUACUGGUUCGUAUCACGAACCGGUACUAAAGAUGGAGCUUUAGUACCGGUUCGUGAAACGAACCGGGACAAAAGAUCUCCCCUAUAUCAUCUUCCACCCGAGCCAGCCAUCUCCAUUUUUGAGCUCGAGUUCAUCCCCAUUUUUCUCCACAAUUUGUCAAGAUUGGCGGCACCCAUCUAUCCAAGGGUUAGCAACUUCAUCCUUUCUUCCGGCAUUGCAAGUUUAGCUCAUUUCAUUGAUAGUUUAGCUCAUAUCAUUUUUCUAGUGCUAGCUAGGUGUUUGAUGAAAUGCAUAAGUUAGGAAGUUCAUUUGUUUUAUAUGCAACUUGAGCUGAAAUUAAAUUACAAUUUGUGGGUUUUAGUGUCAUCCUGUCCCCUUCCUCACCGCCGUUCAUCGCUCGCGCCGCCUCGUCGCCGGCACCACCUUGGUGAGCCUCUUGUUCUUAUAAAAAACAAUUUCCUAUUUGUAUGAUUUACAUAGUUACUUGUAUAAUUUUCUUACUUAUAUCAUUGUUUGUUAUAGUAUAGUGUCAUGGUUUUGAUAUCCGUCCCCGUCGGCCCUCGUCCAGUCUAUGAUCCGGAUGUGGUAUAUUAUCUUUUAUAACUAUUUGUUUUUAUUUCAUGUUUAUGACAAUUAAUUACGCCGACCAACUUGACAUAGAUAUUUUUAUCUAGGAGGUAGUGGAACCGGAAAUUCCAGUCGACCCUCUUGUCAAGAUGUUAAAUUUAGUUGAAAAAGAAAAUGAUGACUUGAAGCAAAGAUUGAAAAAAGCUGAAGAAGAGAAGAUGAAAUUGGAGUUUUAUCUUGCCGAUUUCGUCAAUGAUCACAAGAUCAAGAUGUAUGCAAUGCGCUUGAAGAUUAGAAAGAUUAGAAAAUAUGCAAUUAAUAAAGAGGCUUGGUAUCAUUAUGCUGUCGGGUCAAUGGUUACCUUAGUUGCGAUUUUGAUCGCAUUUGUUGUUGCAUUUAAAUGCAUUAAUUAAAUAGUUGUAUGUUAGUUUCAGUGUAUGUUUUAUGAGAACUAUGUAUUACAUUUGGUCACUACUCUACUUUGGUUUUAAUGUGAUGAACUUGUAUGAAUUAAUUUCUUCGGUUCUCUAUUCAUAAUGAUGUAGUGUAAUGGUUUUUCAUAUAUUUAUAUAAUGCAGAUGAGCCAGCAAUGGAUGUACGGUGACCGACGUUGUCCCGAGUUCAUUAAUGGCAUGCAUAAUUUUCUCUGUGUGGCUGAGGCAAAUAAGAAGAAUGGCUUUAUGUUUUAUCCAUGUCGUGCUUGUAAGAAUACGAAGGAUUACUCUUCCUCAAACACACUUCACAUCUACCUGUUGCAGUCCGGUUUCAUGCCCGGCUAUAAUUGUUGGACUAAGUACGGGGAAAGAGGGGUUAUAAUGGAAGAAAAUGAAGAAGAAGAGGAUGAUGACAACUAUCCUAUGUUCCCUGAGCAUGGUGGUAUUACAAUGGAGGAAGACGAAGAUGAAGAAGAGGCCAUUAUUGAUGAGCCUGAUGAUGAUCUUCGCCAGGUAAUUCUUGAUGCACAGAUGAACCGCGAAAGGGAAAACGAGAGGUUGAUGAAGUUGGAGCGCAUGUUAGAGGAUCACCAAACAUUGUUGUACCCAAAUUGUGAAGAUGGCCAGAAAAAGUUAGGUACUGUCGGUGUCAAAACUGGCAGAUCUCGUGUAGGGGGUCCCAAGUGGCUUGUCUUAGGAUCGAUGGUAACAUGGACAGGGGAUUUUACCCGGCUCCGGGAUCUCUCGAAGAGAUAAUACCCUACAUGUUGCUUUUGAUUGUAUUCGAUGCAUAUGAUUACAGAGUUGAUCUACCUCGAGAUCAUAUAUUGUGGUCUAAACCCUAGAGGUAUGAUGAGUAAUGUCAUGAUGCUCUAUCGACUAGCCUGGCCUCAGCUUAUAUAAUGUACCAGAGGCCUAGGAUAACAAGAGUCCUAGUCGAAUAGGCCGGUGGAGAGGAGUCCUUGUCCUGAUCACUAAGUCUGGUGGAAUCUUCCUCAUGUAUACAUCGGCUGUCCGAACUAGCCCAUGAGCAAACGGCCAUCGGGGUCCUCGGCCCAAUCCAACUAAUCGGGGGACGGCGUGGUGAGUACCCCCUAGUCCAGGACACCGUCCGUAGCCCCCUGAACCGGUCUUCAAGUUGGGGACGCUCCUCAAUUCUUCCGAGCUGUUCUUCACCUUCGGUCGUCGGUCUUGAAAACUGGUUCAACAAAUCAUCUCAUCUUCGAUCUUGAGGAUCGCCAAACUGAAUCCGAAGAGUUUACACGCCGGGUAUCCGAGGAGGCCCUUUAAGUUCUCGGCCUUUAUCAAUGCCUUGUUAUUAUUUUUUAUGCCACACCUCGGGUUUGAAGUUGUUCCCGUGCGGCGGUGUCCUCUUGCAUCCGAGCUCCAAUGCCGGACUGCAUUCGAGAUAUCUUUUGCAGCCGAGCACCAACGCCGGAUUAUAUCCGAGCUCCAAUGCCGGACUAUAUCCAAGCUCCAACGCUGGACUAUAUCCAAGGUGUCAUAGAUCACCUUGGCUUGAAAAAGUUUGAAGGAGGUUAUCCGAGUUUAACGCUGAAAAGUUCUCUAUGGAACGAGCCAUUCGAAUCCGAGCUUUAUGCCGGACCACUUCCGAGCUACAACGAUGGUCAGCGUCCAUGGUGUCGUAAACUACCUCGGUCUUUUAAAAGAUUGAAUGAAUUCAACCGAGCUUAAUGCUAGAAAUGCCCUCUAUGGAGCCAUCCAUUGGCGCCCAAGCUUUAUGCCGGACUGCUUCCCAGGUGGUGCACCACCCCGACGGCGGGCUGAUUUUUUUGUGAAUAUUUUUGAUUGGUGCAAUUUAUUCUCUGUCGAGAUAUAUAGCCAGUAUAUGUAUAUCCAGUAGCCCUCAAGGUGUGUGUCGAUCCAAAAUCCGAGAUGCACCUGAAGGAAAACAUAAAACUGCUGAUCCUAGUAGCCCGUGAGACUCAGGUCGAUUCGCGAAAUCGACCUGAGGAUCAAAUCCUAGCUCGGCAGCAUACGUAGGAAUAGAAACGCAGUGUAAUAUAUUAGAGGUAAUAGUGAUCGGCGGACGGGCCCCUGAGAGAGGGUCGUGAGAAGUCGCCGUGAUAUAUUAGCUUGAUGCUGGAUAAGUCCCAGAUAGUACUUAUUGUUGUCCGAAGACGCGCUUGUCCAUAGUUCGGUCAUGCCGAACACUGAGCACUUUGAAUUUUCUGCAUUGAAUAGGCAAUGCAGUAGCCCCCGAGCCACUGGUCGGGUGGCAACACCAGAUCAGGGGAUCGAUGUGCCCCUUUAAUAUUUAUAAAUAAUGAGCGCGAAGACCAGUAGCCCCCGAGCCUUAAUGUGGGCACGGGUGGCCGAAUUAAGGAUCGAUAUCCGUUUGACAGGAAAAAUUUGUUGUGUUUAAGACAAACUUCUCGGAAAGAGAAUAAAGAUCUCUUAAAGGAGCUUAGAGCUGGUCGAAAUCCGAGCUCGCCAAGGUAGGCCCCAAGGGGUUUAAAAGAUGGAUUGCAGUAAAUGGAUUUUACUCGCAAUUUUUAUGUGUAAUGAUUCUAUGUAUCCAAGUACUUUACAUCAUGAAUGCUCGGAUCCGCAUUGUACAACACCUUGUUGAUCGACCAUCGGCUUCAACCUCCUCGGCCAGUGGCCGGGGAGUGUUUGUCCUAAUUUAUAAAGCCUUUACAAGGGCAAAGGUUUACGACAAACAAGGCAAUCUGGCCAUAUGGUUUUAUAAACAAAGGUAUGCGCAGAGAAUGUUAUAUUACUAUUUGAUGUAAGAAACAUCUCCCAAAGAAAAUAAUCCCGCUAUCGGUUCCUUUCUUUGGGUUGUCAUGCCGACCAUGAUCAUGAAACCUCAGCUCCGAUCGAUAUAGGAGAAAAAUAUUAUGGAUUUAAUUUGGGGUAAGUUCCUGGUCUCUAUGGCUUUUAAUGGACCAAAAUUUUCACUUCCGCCGUUGCCGACCAAUUAUAUUCUUUAAGAUGGCUAGCUUUCGGCUUCUCCCAGUCUGAGGUACUAACAGGGAUGACCCGGAAGUAACAAUCACAGAGGUGCUCCCUUUACCUCCUAGCCGAACAAUCGGGAACGUAGUGGUAAUCACGGGAGCCUGGCAAUCCAGCUUGGCCGAAAUCUUAAGUAAAAUUGAUGCAUAUUUAUGGCUUUAUAACGAUGAUUACGGAAGGCGGCCCUUGUAUAUUAAAUACAAAUGCCGAUGAUAUGUUUAUUUUGACUCCGUUGCGACCGUUUAUCAGUUGAAAGUGGCCCAUCGUCGGCUUCCACCCCCUUGUAGAUGCUAUGCAGGGUGUUUCCGCAAUAACAAACAACCCUUAGCCGACGUCUUGGUGCCCGAAGGCGGUUGUGUUAGAGAAAACGAGGCAAUCAGAUAUGUGGGCUUUAUAACUUUCACUUAGUCAUAGGAGCUUAAAGUUGGGAGGCCAGCUACUAGCCCCUGGUUAGUGUUCAGCGAUAGCCGAGGUCAAGCCGUAAACACUUCGGCCAAUGUUAUGAACGGCCCGUCAUUUAACACAGUCAUCGGAUUGCUGACCAGUCUACGCUUAUUAUGACAGUCAGUUUUCGGCUUUCUCCACUGAGGUGCUUAACCAUGCGAGCUGGAAGCACAAUCGCAGUGGUUCUCCCUUUGCACACCUGGCCGAACAAAGCAGAACGUAGGAGGCAAGCAUAGGAGCCAGGCAACCCAACUAUUGACCAAAGACACAAUUCAAAACCGAGGCAUAUAUAGCAAUAUCCGAGAAUGUUUUUGCAGAAUCUCUAAAGGUGUCCGGCGUUGCACCACGAAACUUAUGCUGGAAACACACCAAUAGUUUAAAAGUGCCAUAGGCUCAAAAAGCCAAAAACAUAUGUAAAAGCUUGACGUCCGGACUAAACCGACAUUUUGGUGCCAAUCCGGAAACUGGUCUUUUUUUUAAAUUGUACUUCUAUCGUGCUUUAACAUGACACAUCCGAUCUCAAGACUUCAAGCGGGCUAGCCUACGGCUUCAAGCUCCUUAUCGCGAAGGAGGAGUACUUCUCCGAGGCCAGUUUAGCGAACUAAACUCGAGCGGCUUUAGAGAGAAGCUAGGCUAUCCGGCUAUUGACCAUACACUCGAGUCGAAAAAGGAGCGGUAGAAAAAGACUUUGCAACGACCAAGAAGGAAACACAUUAUUAUAGAACGACUCGUGUAAAUUUUAAGAGCCCCCAUUUAACAUGGGUAAGGGGAGUUUCUUUUAACAAACAAUGUAUGUGAGCAUGGUCGAACCGAACACAAGUUAAAAAUUUAAAACUUUGAGCAUGAAAGCAACUUAGCUGGUUAAUGUGUUCAGCAUUGAUGACACGGUCCGAGCUUGAUGCGGGACAAGGUUCCAUCCCCCAAGCCAGUCCCGAGGUGGCGGAGCGAACAGCUCGACACUCCAAAGUGGUGACAUAGCACGGCCAAUGCAGGCCGACAGAGUGACGCCGAAGUCCUCGGCGUGGGUUAAUGAAGUGUUGACGAAGCCCCCUGUCCAGUCGAGGUGACGUGGUAUGUCAGUACGCUGAGGUGACAACACUGCCCGACCCGAAUCAUUUACCUGUGCACAAAAAAUAGUGCAAACCGAAGAUAAUAGUAAUAAUAAUAAAUUAAAAAAAUUGUUGCAUAAUAAAUAAUUUAUGCAAAGUGAGUAAUAAAAGAAAUAUGGCCUAUGCGCCGAACACUCGAUGAGGUAAAGCUCUCUCGGCGAUGCCGAAGUCCCUGAGGCAACCGAACACGUCGGUAUGGCAACGCGACUAACAAGGUGAUCACGCGAGAUGAUUUACGCCGAUUGGGACGACGGCGUUGGCUUGCCGAAGAGACCACAUGAUGUAGUCGAAGUCCAUUACCUGCACAUGUAAAAUAGUGCAGGCCAAGAAUAAUAAUAUAAAUAUAUAAAAAUCCUCGUGUAAUUAAUUGAUGCAAGAUAAUUUAUUUAAAAAUAUGUGGCCUGGCGCCGAAGUCAAUGUCGAUGCAGGGCGUAGGCGUGAUGCGGUAAAGGCGUGGCAAAGCCUGAAUUCACAGGUCGGUCUGAGUUCCGGAUGCGGCGUUCGCCGAACUAUGUAUGGAAACUGACCGAACCACCACGCGACCGUCGUUAAUGCGGCCGCCAUUUGAUAGACCUGUGUACAGAUGAUGGAAUAAACCAGAGUAUUAAUUCCUUGGGAAAAAUAAACCCAAACAAGCAAAAAUUGCUAGGAUUAAUAACACCUAGUUUAUUUGUUGUAGCAGUCCGAAUAAAAUUGGGACUCGAUCCGCACACCCAUUGCCUGAUGGACGAUGAAGCGACGGCAUGGCGAUGCUGGUAAAGGUUGGCUCGCCGAGGCAAAGCCCCGGUCCAGCUAACGUGACGAAGCUGGUCGGCUGAUGACGCCAAAGUCUCCGGAGUAGGUUGAUGAAGGGAUGGCGAAGCCCCCGGUCCAGACGAGGUGACGGAGCAGGUCGGUAAGGAGACGUUGCAGCUGCCAUGUCAGCCGAGGUGUCGAAGUAGUUCGGCGUGAUGGACAUCGGCUUGAAGAAGCAACGGUGCGGCCAUGCCGAUGCAGGUCAUAACUCGUGACGUGAUCAAUGCCGGCUUGAUGAAGUGACCGUGCGGCGAUGCCGAUGUGCCCGCUCCGUGUAAUCCGUGGGGCGGCGAGGUUGGUGAUGAUUUAUCCUUCGCGAUGCCGAACUCUUGUUCGGCUUGCCGAGAUGACGAUCCGAAGAAGUUGAGCUCGGCUCAACAAAGCGACGAUGUGUCUAGCGCAAGUCGGCAGUCGUGGAGCAACGUUGUCGGGCUGGUUUGACACCGGCGUGAUGGUGAAGAUCAUAUUGGAAAAGACUUUAAAAUUAGUGGGAUUUGUUUGGGAACAAAACACAAUACCCAAAACUUCCUUCAAGAAGGAUAUCCUAAAUCCCGUUCAUAAAAAAGAUGAACUCGUGUUGGAUUCGUUCUCGCGCAGAAAACAGAUCUGAAAAGUGAUGCACUAAUCGGAAGGUUCCCGGAGUUUGAACGGUCGGAUCGAGCUGAAAUUUUGAGGGGUGGUAGAUAUAGGAAUUCCUCAGCCGAUCAACGGUUGAAUCUUCCAAAGGACGUCCGAGCUAGGUGCUGGACACCACGCUCCAAACUCGUCCAGAUUCCCAUCCAGAUUCGACAGGGCUCCGGUAUAUCGGACACCGGCGGAGAUUGCUCCAUCGGAACGCGAUGAAAUUUUACAAUGUUGUUGUAGACUCAAUUCCGCACAAUUACACCGAAGGAAUUGUGAAAGCGAUGCUCGAGGAGGUGGUGGUAGCGGAUACAAGUUUGCUGUUCGGAAAAACAACACGGUCGCCCGAAGGCAAUGUUGACGUUGAGCCCCCGAGCUCCAUGGAUGAUUCCUCCAUGAUGUUGAUUGGGAUUGGAGUUGAUGUUGAUGAAGGCCCUCGUCCAAACAUGAUGAUUGGAGGUAGGGCACAGUCCUCGAUCAAGCCAAGGUGACCAGUCGAGGCGGCGACAAAGACGCCAACGUCGCAGUUGAUCUGCAGGCGGGCCAUUGAUCCUUUUGCCGACCAUACAGCGGAACUCUCAAUGAAAGCACCAUUGUCGGUGUCAAAACCGGCAGAUCUUGGGUAGGGGGUCCCAAGCGGCGUGUCUUAGGAUCGAUGGUAACAUGGACACGAGAUUUUACCCAGCUUCGGGCUCUCUCGAAGAGAUAAUACCCUACAUGCUCCUUUUGAUUGUAUUCGAUGCGUAUGAUUACAGAGUUGAUCUACCUCGAGAUCAUAUAUUGUGAUCUAAACCCUAGAGGUAUGAUGAGUAAUGUCAUGAUGCUCUAUCGACUAGCCUGGCCUCAGCUUAUAUAAUGUACCAGAGGCCUAGGAUAACAAGAGCCCUAGUCGAAUACGCCAGUGGAGAGGAGUCCUUGUCCUGAUCACCAAGUCUUGUGGAAUCUUCCUCGUGUAUACAUUGGCUGUCCGAACUGGCCCAUGAGCAAAUGGCCAUGGGGGUCCCCGGCCCAAUCCAACUGAUCAGGAGACGGCACGGUGAGUACCCCCUAGUCCAGGACACCGUCAGGUACCACACUGGAAUUGCUGCAAUAGAAGGCAGAGAAUGGACUAUCUGACAAGGGAUUUGAAAAUUUGCUGAAAAUAUUAAAGAAGAUGCUUCCAAGGGAUAACGUGUUGCCCUCCAGUACGUAGGAAGCAAAGAUGGUUGUCUGCCCUCUAGGAUUAGAGGUGCAGAAGAUACAUGCAUGCAUCCAUGACUGCAUCCUCUACUGCGGUGAGGAGUACAAGAAUUUGAAUGCAUGCCCGGUAUGAGGUGCAUUGCGGUAUAAGAUCAGGUGAGAUUACCCUGGUGAUGUUGAGGGUGAGCCGCGGCCUAGGAAGAGGGUUUCCUUCCAAGGUGAUGUGGUGUGCUCCUAUAAUACCACAGUUGAAACGUUUGUUCCAAAACAAAGAGCAUGCCAAGUUGUUGUGAUGGCACAAAGAAGACAGUAAGAAAGACGAGAUGCUGAGACACCCCGCUGAUGGGUCACAGUGGAGAAAAUCGACAACGAGUUCAAGGACUUUGUAGGUGACGGAAGGAACUUAAGAUUUGGUCUAAGUACAGAUGGCCUGAAUCUAUUUGGUGAGUAGAGCUGUAGUCAUAGCACCUGGCAUGUGACUCUAUGUAUCUAUAACCUUCCUCCUUGGUUGUGCAUGAAGCGGAAGUUCAUUAUGAUGCCAGUGCUUAUCCAAUGCCCGAAGCAACCCAGCAACGACAUUGAUGUGUACCUAAGGUCAUUAGUUGAAGAACUUUUACAUUUGUGGCAUGAAGAAGGUGUACGUGUUUAGGUGAGACUGAAAGUAUAUAUUUGGAUAAAUGUAAUAAGAAUGUGCACCCACGGCAUCGUCGAUUUCCUCUAGACACGCAUCCCUUAAGAAAGAAAGGCAAGCAUUUCAAAGGUGAGGCGGAUCACCGGAUGAAGACUACCCACCCUACUGGUGAUGUUAUAUAUGGCAUGGUCAAGGAUUUAAAAGUAAUCUUUGGAAAAAAGGGUCCUCGCGGACAAUCUGUUCCGAAAGACGCAGACGGACACGUACCUGAUAACCCACAAGUGUAGGUUAUCAGUUGUAGCCUUUCUCAAUAAAUAAGAGUGUCGAACCCAAUGAGGAGCUAAAGGUAGAACAAAUAUUCCCUCAAGUUCUAUCGACCACCGAUACAACUCUACGCGCGCUUAACGUUUGCUUUACCUAGAACAAAUAUGGAACUAGAGGUACUUUGUAGGUGUGAUAGGAUAGGUUUGCAAGAUAAUAAAGAGCAUGUAAAUAAAAUCUAGGGGUUGUUUAGAUAAAGAAACAACUAAGUUAGUUUUAGUAGAGAGCUUUUUGUCACGAGAAAGUUAUUUGUCCCUAGGCAAUCGAUAACUAGACCGGUGAUCAUUAUUGCAAUUCUAUAUGAGGGAGAGGCAUAAGCUAAGAUACUUCCUCUUCUUGGAUCAUAUGCACUUAUGAUUGGAACUCUAGAAAUCAUCCACAACUACUAAAGAUCAUUAAGGUAAAACCCAACCAUAGCAUUAAAGUAUCAAGUCCUCUUUACUCCCAUACGCAAACAACCUACUUACUCGGGUUUAAACUUCUGUCACUCUAGCAACCCACCAUAAGAGAAUCAUGAACAUAUUGCAAACCCUACAGCGAGGAUCCUGAUGAUGACAUGUACCUAGGGUAGGGUAAUAGACCUGAUCUAGACAAUCAUCCCAAGGACACUGCCCUACAAUCAAAGACAUUCAAAGGACGGCAACUUCUACCGACUGAAAUGACCUUAGGAUGCAACCCACUCGACCAACGGUUCCGCUCGGAUAACCCAAUUCCAUUCGACCAGUAUAUAAUCAUUUGACCAUAUCAGAAACCACUCGGAGUACAGAAGAUCUAAGGUUGCUCUGGAUGGCAACGGUCAGGCGUUCACUCUGUAGUCUUAAUGAUCAUUUAUAUGACUUUAAUGCUGACGUUACCAGUAAUGUCCCCUCUUUAUGUACAUUGAACCCUAUGUAACGGGGGACGAUUGGGGUCCUGGCGCACUCUAUAUAAGCCACCCCUCCUCUGCGACAAGGGUUCACACCCCCUGUAACUUCACGCAUAAUCCAAUCAACCAGCCUCUGGGCACCGAGACAUAGGGCUAUUACUUCCUCUGAGAAGGGCUUGAACUCGUAAAUCUUGCGUGCACAACUUCACCGUAGCUAGGAUCUUGCCUCCUCAUAGCUACCCCCGCAUUCUACUGUCAGACUUAGAACCACGACAGUUGGCGCCCACCGUGGGACUGGUGUCUUAGCGACUUUCCGGUGAGGUUGCGAUUUUUCCGAUUCUCAUCAUCAUGGUUUCCGGCGGUGGUUUGGCUGAGGGCCGCGAGAUUCGUCUCGGCGCACUCGUCUUCGUCGCCGACGACUCUGCCUGGCUCCAGGAGGCCCCCCUCGACAUCGAGACACUCCCUGUCCGCGGGGCGACGCACUUUCGUGCGUGCAUUCGCGUCGUCCUUCUGCGGCAGCCGUCGACCCAAUAUCGGUCGGCUCCCGCGGUGUCUUCGCUCCCUGCUGUUCGUCGUCACAACCGAUCCGGUCGGUCGCGGCUUCAGCGGUGGGUGAUGCAUGCGGUGGCACGUCAGUCGGCCACCCCUCAAGUCACGGCAAUCGAGCCUGAUGAAUCUCUCUACGGCCUGUUCGACUGGCUCCGUCGAGACCCUAUCCGAGUGCGAUAGCAGCAACCCUGCGGCGGAAGUCCUGAUGGUCGACACGCCGUGUAGCCCGCCUGGCAUGCAUCGCAACAGUGGCGGUGACGGCGGUAGCGAUCCGUCGUGCGUUCACGAGGAGUACCACCCUGAAACCCUCUCUUCUCAGCAGAGGGAGGAACUUGACCACCGCAACGUGGAGGCGCUCCACACGCCCAUUGUCGGAGAGACCUCUGAGGCUCGGGCCUUGGGGGCAGCGCGCCUGGCCACUUUGGCUGAGUGCACUCGACUGGAGAACCUUUACCACGCACUCGACGAACAUGCCCGGCGGCAGAUCCCUGAGUCCAGUCGAUGGUAGCAACAACUAUUCCCGCUUGAACCAUAGGUAUACUGCACUCCGAUUCAGAAUCUUACAGCUGCAGCCCGUAUAGCAGAGUCUAUUCAGCCGUCCCAGUCGGAGGCUGGAAGAGGUUUGAUGCAGAUCAGAGCAUUGCUCCGGGCAGCAGGAGAGCAGAACACUGCAGUGUCUUGGUUGCGUAACAGAAUCCAUAGCAGAUCUGUGGUGGCUGACACAGUCUAGUCGGCUCACUGCCCAAGAUCGCCUCCGCAGCAUGAGGGACGUGGGCAUCACCAAGGACAGUACUUGGGUCGGAACCACGAGCAGUACGAUCAUCGGCUCGACCGUGAUGACCGCCGUCGAGUGCCUACGCCCCCUCCGAGGGGCGGAUCAUAUGUGCCCCCGCAUUAUGAUGAUAGGCGCCCGUACAGUGAGGAACGGAGGAUGCCAGUCGACCCAAGAGAGCCAGGGUUUGAUGCAAGGUCAAUUUUGGUGCAAGGUCUGGUUGACAGGAACCGAGCACACAGAGAAGGACACGAUAGAGAUCACUCGACUGGAAGCAGAGUGCAUGUUUCUGGUCCCGAAUGUUUUAGCAGAGCCAUCAAAGCCACAGAGAUCCCUCCCGACUUCAGGUUGGCGACCGGAGUUAGUAAGUUCACUGGUGAAUCAAAGCCUGACACUUGGCUUGAGGAUUACCGAGUGGCUGUACAAAUCGGUGGUGGAAAUGAUGAGGUGGCCAUGAAGCACCUUCCCCUUAUGCUUGAAGGGUCAGCUAGAGCUUGGUUGAAUUAGUUGGCUCCGGGCAGUAUAUUCAGCUGGGAGGAGUUAGCCCGAGUGUUUGUCAGAAUGUUCGAGGGCACAUGCAAACGACCUGCAGGGUUGGCAGAAUUGCAGCAUUGUGUGCAAAAACCGAAUGAAACUUUGAGGGAUUACAUCCAGAGGUGGACCACUUUGCAUCACACAGUGGAGAAUGUGUCUCAGCAUUAAGCAGUUUGCACCUUCAAGGAGGGCGUUUGGUAUCGGGAGCUUAACUUGAAAUUCGGUCGGACAGGAGACAUGACCCUGACCCGAAUGAUGGAAAUAGCCACUCGGUACAUAAACGUCAAAGAAGAAGACCGACUCCGUAGCGGCAAGAGCAAACCAGUCGGCCAGGACAAUGGAGGAGGUAAUUCCAAUCAGAAGCAGAAGCGCAAAGCAGAACCUGCGGAUCCUGAGAGAGGUUGCAGUCGCGACCCAAGGAAAAUUUAAGGGAAAGCCUAAAGGGCCCUGGAUCCCCAAGAAGGUGAAAGAUCAAGCAGGAAACGAUGUGUUGGAUUUGCCAUGUCACACUCGCACCAAGAAGGAUGAAGAGGGUAAUCUGAUUUAUCCCAAACAUACCACUCGACAGUGUCGACUCCUUAUCCAGCAGUUUCGAGAAAAACCACCCAGUGAGAAAGAGAACGAAUCUGAUAAGGAUGAGGACAAGGAAGAGGAUGAUGAUGGAUUUCCCAAUGUCAAUUCCACUUUGGUGAUUUUUGCCGACAUUGAAAGCAAAAGUCAACUGAAAUUCAUCAACAGGGAAUUAAAUAUGGUUGCUCUGGCAAUGACAACGUAUUUGAAAUGGUCAAAGACUCCCAUCACAUUCGACCAGUCCGACCACCCGCCGCGCGUUGCCACCCCUGGGAGGCAAGCAUUGGUGGUCGACCCAGUCGUUGGGGGCACCUGAUUGACCAAAGUCUUGAUGGAUGGCGGCAGUGGUUUGAACAUUUUGUAUGCUGAGACCCUCUGAGGGAUGGGCAUUCCGAUGUCCAAGCUCAGCGAGAGCAACAUGCGGUUCCACGGAGUCAUCCCUGGAAAGAAAGCCGAUUCACUCGGCCAGAUCACUCUUGACAUGGUUUUCGGUGAUUCAAAGAAUUACCGUAAGGAAAAGUUGACAUUUGAAGUUGUGGAUUUUCACAGUGCUUAUCAUGCUAUCCUGGGCAGAACUGCAUAUGCUCGUUUCAUGGCUCGACCAUGUUAUGCGUACCUCAAACUCAAGAUGUCUGGCCCUAGGGGCGUGAUCACAGUCACUGGUAAUCGGCAGCGAGCGGAAGAGUGCCUCCAAAAGGGCUCGAAGAUUGUCAAUGAACAGAUGGCAGCGGUAGAAAUGGAAGAAUACAAGAAGACUGCAGAUCCAAGUGAUUUUUUGAGAGCUAAGAAGCCUGCUUCAGACUCUGCAUUUAAGUUGUCUGGUGAAACAAAGUCAGUUCAUAUUCACCCGACCGAUCCCAAUGCUGCUCCGACUCAUAUCUCAACAACACUCGACAACAAAUAGGAAGAAGCGCUCAUCCAGUUCCUCCGUGAGAACUGGGACAUCUUCGCAUGGAAACCUUUUGACAUGCCAGGUGUACCCAGGGGACUGGCUGAGCACCGUUUGCGAGUCGACCCGAAAGCAAAACCUGUCAAAGAGCAUCUCCGACGGUGAGCCGUGGAGAAAAGAAAGGCAAUUGGCGAGGAAGUGCCUCGGCUUCUGGCAGCUGAGUUCAUCCGAGAGAUUUACCACUCUGAGUGGCUCGCCAACGUCGUCAUGGUCUCCAAGAAAGAUGAUUCUCUCUGUAUGUGUAUUGACUUCAAGCAUAUCAAUCGGGCCUGCCCGAAAGAUCACUUCCCUCUCCCCCGCAUCGAUCAAAUAGUCGACUCAACUAUGGGAUGUGAGUGAUUGUCCUUUCUGGAUGCAUAUUCCGGGUACCAUCAGAUCCGACUGUAUGGACCCGACAAAAUAAAAACAACUUUUAUCACCCCAUUGGGGUGCUUUUGCUAAGUUACUAUGCCCUUUGGUCUCAAGAAUGCGGGUGCCACAUUCAUGCGAUACAGAAGUGCCUCCUCACUUAAAUCAGUCGGAAUGUGGAAGCAUACAUGGAUGACAUUGUGGUUAAGUCACGUAAAGGUUCCGACCUAAUGACUGACCUCACUGAAACCUUUGACAAUCUGAGAAGAUAUGACAUCAAGCUUAAUCCGUCGAAGUGUACAUUCGGAGUUCCAGGUGGAAAGUUACUCGGUUUCCUCAUUUCUGAACGUGGGAUCGAUGCAAACCCAGAGAAAGUUGGUGCAAUACUCCGAAUGAAACGCCCUGUGCGCGUACACGACGUUCAGAAGCUUACUGGUUGUUUGGCAGAUUUGAGUCGAUUCAUCUCUCGUCUCGGUGAAAAGGCAUUGCCUCUUUACCGAUUGAUGAAGAAAUCUGAUAAGUUCGAGUAGACUCCUGAAGCUGAUGCAGCGUUUGUAGAGCUCAAAACCCUGCUUUCCACCCAGCCGAUGCUCGCUGCUCCAAUCAGCAAAGAGCCUUUACUGCUUUAUAUUGCAGCCACUGGACAAGUUGUCAGUACAGUACUCACGGUCGAGCGGGAAGAAGAAGGUAAAGCCUACAAGGUUUAGCGCCCAGUGUACUAUAUUUCUGAAGUCUUAACUCCGUCCAAGCAUAGAUAUCCGCACUAUCAGAAGCUUGUCUAUGGAAUUUACUUGACCACGAAGAAAGUUGCACAUUAUUUCUCAGAUCACUCGAUUACAGUCGUUAGCGAUGCUCCACUGUCAGAAAUUCUGAACAACAAAGAUGCAACUAGUCGAGUGUCAAAGUCGGCGAUUGAACUCCUUCCGUUGGAUAUCAAGUUUGAGGCAAAGAAAGCAAUCAAGUCCCAAGCGAUAGCAGAUUUCCUCGUCGAAUGGAUUGAGCAGCAACAACCGACUCAGAUUCACUCGGAACAUUGGACUAUCUUCUUUGAUGGAUCCAAGAUGCUGAAUGGUUCUAGUGCUGGAGUAGUCCUGGUAUCCCCGCGAGGCGACAAACUCAGUUACGUCCUCCAGAUUCACUUUGAUUCCUCCAACAAUGACGCCUAAUAUGAGGCACUUCUGUAUGGGUUGCGUAUGGCCAUUUCACUCGGCGUCCGUCGCCUAAUGGUCUACAGCGACUCAGAUUUGGUGGUCAAUCAAGUGAUGAAGGAGUGGGACAUCAGGAGCCCAGCUAUGACUGGCUAUUGCAAUGCAGUGAGAAAGUUAGAAAAGAAGUUUGAAGGGCUAGAGCUCCACCACAGUCCCCGACUGAAGAACCAGACAGCUGAUGACCUGGCAAAGAUAGGUUCCAAGCGGGAGCCCAUUCCCAGCAAUGUGUUCUUGGAGCAUCUUCACACACCAUCAGUUCAAGAGGAUCCCUUCACAGAAGAGCCCUCGCAGCCUAAGAGUUCUACUGAUCCGACUGAAGUUGAAAUCCCAGCCGUAGUCGACUUAAUCAUGGAGGUUUUGGUUGUCACUCCUGAUUGGACAGUACCGUAUAUUGCAUAUAUUCUCAGGAAAGAACUUCCAGAAGAUGGAGAUGAGGCACGUCGGAUUUUUCCGUCGAUCCAAAGCCUUCACGGUAAUAGGUGGACAGCUCUACAGAGAGAGUGUUACUGGGGUUGCUCAGUGGUGCAUCACGCCAGAAGAAGGUCGAAUGAUUUUGAAUGACAACCACUCAGGGACCUGUGGUCACCAUGCGUCCUCUCGGAGCAUUGUGGCCAAAGCAUACCGAGCGGGAUUUUAUUGGCCGCGAGAAAAUGAAAUGGUAAAAGACAUAGUCGACAAGUGUGAAGGCUGUCAAUUCUACUCCAACAUGUCUCACAAGCCUGCAUCAGCCCUGAAGACCAUUCCACUCGUCUGGCCCUUUGUAAUUUGGGAAUUGGAUAUGGUUGGACCUCCGAGGACUGGCAUGAGUGGGUUCACUCGUCUACUUGUUGCAGUCGACAAGUUCACUAAGUGGAUUGAAGCCAAACCCAUCAAAAACCUCGACUCAUGUACCGCCAUCAGCUUCAUUAGAGAGUUAACAUUCAGAUAUGGGGUCCCGCACAGCAUCAUCACGGACAAUGGUUCAAACUUUGAUUCAGAUGAGUUCAGAGCUUUCUAUGCUUCCCAAGACACUCGGGUCGACUAUGCUUUAGUCGCUCACCCGUAGUCGAAUGGACAAGCAGAAAGGGCAAAUGGUUUGAUCCUCCAGGGUCUGAAGCCCAGGUUGAUGCAUGACCUCAAACACGCGGCAUGUGCCUGGGUGGACGAGUUACCAUCAGUACUGUGGGGCCUAAGAACAACGCCGAAUCGGUCGACUGGUCGGACUCCCUUCUUCAUGGUCUAUGGAGCUGAAGUUGUGCUGCCGUCUGAUUUACUUCACAAUGCUUCGCGAGUAGAACUUUUCUCAGAAGCAGAAGCAAAACAAGCCCGGCAAGAUGUUGUUGAUCUUCUGGCAGAGGAAAGAGAGAUGGCCCUGAUCAGGUCGACCAUUUAUAAGCAAGACCUCCGUCAUUUCCAUGCUAGAAACGUGAGAGGUUGAGCAUUUCAGGAGGGAGACCUCGUGCUCCGAGUGGAUCAGCAAUGGCCUCACAAACUUUCUCCCGCUUGGGAAGGCCCCUUCAUCAUCACCAAGGUGCUCCACAAUGGAGCGUAUCAUCUGUACGAUGUGGAACACAAGAAAGACGAGCCACGCGCUUGGAAUGCGGAGCUGCUCCGCCAUUUUUAUACUUAAGCAUUCAUACUGUUGAGAUGUAAUAAGAAGUACCUUUUAGUUUAUUUAUCAAAGACACGGUUUUACAGUCUCCUAAAUGAUUGUUGUUACUUAUACAUGUGUUCAAAAUCCCCCAGUGGGUGUCUUAGCUCCAAAUCCGAUUUGCCUAAGUUUCAAAAACAAAAUCCUACCAAGUGAAGAGCAAGCCUCUCACUCGGGGGCUUAGCUGCGAAUUUGGUUCGCCUAAGUUUGAAAAAAUCCUACCGAGUGAAGAGCAAGCCUCUCACUCGGGGGCUUAGCUGCAGUUCCGUACUCGCCUAAGUUUGAAAAGUCCCACCGAGUGAAGAGCAACCUUCUCACUCGGGGGCUUAGCUGCAAUUCCGUACUCGCCUAAGUUUGAAAAAAUCCCACCGAGUGAAGAGCAACCCUCUCACUCAGGGGCUUAGUUGCAGUUCCGUACUUGCCUAAGUUUGGAAAUCCCACCAAGUGAAGAACAACCCUCUCACUCGGGGGCUUAGCUGCAGUUCUNNNNNNNNNNNNNNNNNNNNNNNNNNNNNNNNNNNNNNNNNNNNNNNNNNNNNNNNNNNNNNNNNNNNNNNNNNNNNNNNNNNNNNNNNNNNNNNNNNNNNNNNNNNNNNNNNNNNNNNNNNNNNNNNNNNNNNNNNNNNNNNNNNNNNNNNNNNNNNNNNNNNNNNNNNNNNNNNNNNNNNNNNNNNNNNNNNNNNNNNNNNNNNNNNNNNNNNNNNNNNNNNNNNNNNNNNNNNNNNNNNNNNNNNNNNNNNNNNNNNNNNNNNNNNNNNNNNNNNNNNNNNNNNNNNNNNNNNNNNNNNNNNNNNNNNNNNNNNNNNNNNNNNNNNNNNNNNNNNNNNNNNNNNNNNNNNNNNNNNNNNNNNNNNNNNNNNNNNNNNNNNNNNNNNNNNNNNNNNNNNNNNNNNNNNNNNNNNNNNNUCACUCGGGGGCUUAGCUGUAGUUCCAUACUCGCCUAAGUUUGAAAAAAUCCCACCGAGUGAAGAGCAACCCUCUCACUCGGGGGCUUAGCUGCAGUUUCGUACUCGCCUAAGUUUGAAAAAUCCCACCGAGUGAAGAGCAACCCUCUCACUCGGGGGCUUAGCUGCAGUUCCAUACUCGCCUAAGUUUGAAAAAAUCUCACCGAGUGAAGAGCAACCCUCUCACUCGGGGGCUUAGCUGCAGUUCCGUACUCGCCUAAGUUUGAAAAAAAAUCCCACCGAGUGAACAGCAACCUUCUCACUCGGGGACUUGGCCACACGCUCCAUCAUGAUCCAUAAGGACGAUGAGGUACAGGUCAUCUGUGACCUUCUCCUUAGAGCUACGCCACAAAUACAAUGUGCGCUCCAUCUUGAUCCGCAAGGACGACGAGGUGCAGGUCGUUUGCGACCUUCUCCUCAGAGCUGCGCUGCAAAUACAAUGUGCGAUCCAUCCCGAUCAGCAGGAACAGCGAGGUGUAGGUCGUCCGCGACCCUUUCCUCAGAACAACAUCACAAGUACCAAAGUCUGUUCCGUGUGAAGAUACAAGUUCCACUCGGAGAUAAAGGAAAACAUAUUUAAGAAAAAACCAAGUUCAGAUAAAUCCCACGAGGUUCCAGACCACAGAUUAAGGUACUCGGGCAUCAGGCCCAAAGGAGACUAACGGUUACAAAACCACUGGGCAUACCGAGGCUAAUUUAAUCGGAUCAUAAAAGUUUGUUCACUCCGCAGGAGGAGGACUGGCAGGCUCGACAAACUCAUCCAGGUCAAUUCCAUCUGCAAUACGAGUAGCAGCAGCAUUGAAGGUCUCCAUGAAAGACUGGAAGUCCAGUCUCUUGGUGCUGGCAACCUUGAUCGCUGCUAACUUCUCUUCUUUGGCCUCCUUGCAAUGGACGCGAACAAGGGACAGAGCUACGUCAGCGCCACACUGAGCAGAGAAUUUCUUCCAUUCCUGCACUCGACCAGGGAUCUCAUUGAUUUGAGUCAUGAAAGACUCAAGGUCAUUUUGGAGCAUCUCCCUUGGCCAGAGCGCCGUGUCGAUCCGCGACACCGCAACCUUCAGUCGAGCGAGGUAGUCUGUAACACUGGCAAGUCGGGAUUCCAGUCGAAGCGCGUCAUGGCAGCUUCAUCCUUAACAGGGGAAUUGAUAGGGUCCAAGCUUGUCUCGAUUCGCCCAGUUUCUUCCUCAAAGUUUUGGCAGAAUUCUGUACUCACAAAGAAAUAAUGAGUCGACGGCUUUAUGAUGAAUCGACGAUAACAAAACAGUCGGACAAGGAAAGGUACCUUCAAGCAUAAUGAAUAACUUCUUGGCGAGUCCUCCCAGAUAAGUCUCCAGCUCGUCUCUCCUUCGACUGAGAUCACCAACCUUGUCAGUCAAAGCUCCCUUGUCCUUCUUCAGCCGAGUCACCUCUUUAUUGGCCUCGUCAAGAGUAGUCUUCAGCUUGGCAUUUUCUGUUUCUAACUUCCCGACUGAAGCCAGCUUCUCGUCGGCAAGUGAUGUUUUCUCUUCGGCAGAUUUUUGUGUGGCCGCAAGGUCAAGAUCCUUCUUCUCCAAAGCCUGGCUCAUUUUUUCUGAAAGAAAUAACGCUCGGUUCAGAGGAAGCAAAAAACACUCGGUUCAGAAAAGAGUCAGUCGACAAGUUUUCCAUACUAGCAGCAUCAUCCUUAGCAUUCUGAAAGUUCUCCUUGGCUAACUCCAGAUCAAGAUUGAGCUGGAUCUGCUUCUGCUCCAAGUCAGCAAACUGGGCUCCAAGUUCACAAGAUUCCUGUGGUCAGGGGACAGUCAGUCAACAGAUACAAAGUUUGGUUGCUUACCAGGCAAUGAAGUUCAAAUUCAAAAAGUUCUAAGACUACUGCCGAAUCAAACAUUCAACAAUAGUCUCGGGGACUACACCCAGUGGGUGCACUUAGCGUGCCCCCACUGGUGCAGGUUCCACUCGACAUGGUCCGUACAGACCGAGUGGAAGAAUGUAAAAAAAGAAGAAAGAGAGAAGCAACAGUUAUUCUCAAACCACAACCGACUGCCCGCAGUCGACCACGGUCUCGGAGACUACACCCAGUCGGUGCACUCAGCGUGCCCCCACUGGUUCAGGUUCCACUCGACAUGGUCUACCCAGACCGAGUGGAAAAACUGAAGAACAAGACAUAUUUAUCAAGACCCCCGCCGAAUCACACAUUCGACGGCGGCCUCGGGGACUACACCCAGUGGGUGCACUCUGCGUGCCCCCACUAGUCCAAAGAUACAAUCAACACAACCUAGUCGACUCAACUGGAAAAACUACUCAACUUAAAUUGAAACACCCAGUGGGUGUACAGAUGCGAAGUGCAGACUGACAAAUGGAUGCACAAUGAAAGCUUUCAGGUAGCAUAUCCUAACAGAACAAGCGUCAAGCUAGGAGAUCAGUCGGAAAUCAACUAACCUGGACAUUGGCCUGGAGGGUUGAGCUGGCAUCAUAAGCAGCCCGACUGGCCUCAUGCACCACUUUCAUUUGUUCCAUCAUAAGGCCUGCCUGGCGUAUGGCUUCCUUGGCAGCGCCCACUUGGUCCUCUGGGACAUGAUGGGUGGUGAAAAGUGGUGAAGGCAGAUCAAUCGCAGCAGCUUGAGGAUCCGAGGUGUGGUCUCGUACAGAUGAAACAGGGACUUGUGCAGUCAACGAUGAAGGACGUUCACUCGACACUGGAACGGCAAAAGUAACAGAAGCCCGGUUGAGGUCUCUGGACUGCUGAAUCACUGAUUCCGUCACCGGCGUCGACUGGGGCGUCUUGCUAGCUGGUGCCUUCCUGCCUGAAGUCCUGCCCCUCCUUCUCGUGGGUCUCUGUGGCACAUCUUUAUUGUCAUCUGGAAGUUCAAUAACAUUGGGCGGAGCUGCAAAGGAAUCGAUCGCAAGAGUUCAGUCGACCGUCAAAGUGGCUGGUAAAGUAAAGACAAGAUGACAAGAGUUAUACCCGCAUUGGAAGUGACCGCGUCUUCCAUCUCCUCAUCAUCACCAUCUUUAUAAAUAGAUGUCCCAGAAGUAGCAGCACUGCAAAUUUCAGAAUUCACUCGGUCAAAACAGGAAAGUGAGUCGACCGAAGAUCGAGUCAUGCAAAACUAAGUGGUCGAGCACAAUGAUUACCCAGAAGCGAUGGGGACGGCCACUUUAAUCUUGGGCAAGGCCUUCCGGGGCUUUGAUGGCGCGACUUUGGGCUGCUUCGGAGCUUUCUCAGUCGGCACAGGAGAAGAUGUUCGAGUGCGCUUUGAAGUCUGUCCAGUCGGUGGAGUCGCUUUGCCACGAAUACUUGCUGGGUCUUGCCUCUGCUUGGAGCGUCUUUCCGAGCGAGGUGGAGAGUCGACCUCCUCACCACUGCUUGAGUCUUCACUCUCGUCGUCUUCUCCUCCGUCAGAAUGCCAGUCGCCGCUGUCACCUCCGCUCGCUUCUCCCUCCUGCUCCUGCUCCUGCUCCUGCUCUCCGUUGGGCAUCGAAUACAUCUCAGUGUAGAUCUGCAAGGCAUAGAGUUGAGCGGAUAUCAAUCAGUUUCGAGAAUAAAUACAUGUCAGUACAAAAAGACACUCGGAAGUAAAGAGUCGGACCUUGUCUAUCUCGUAGGUGUUGUCGAGUGGAGGAAUCCUCCUAGACCCCCUGGGGUUGUCCUUGUUGCCAAUGAUGCCCCGCAACCACUGCGCCACUAUCUCCUCGUCAACUUCCUCCGGAUGGAUCCGAGUGUUGUCAUCAAUACCCGAGUACAUCCACAUCGGAUGAUCGUGAGCUUGGAGUGGCUGGAUGCGUCAACUGAGAAACACCUCUAACAAGUCCAUGCUAGUCACACCGUCGCGGACAAGUUAGACUACUCGCUCAACCAACAUAUUCACCUCCACUUUCUCAGCUGGAGUCACUUUCAAGGGAGAGGGCUUCUCAACUCGCUCCAUGGAAAAUGGAGGAAGGCCAGUCGACUGACCAGGGGUCGGUUGGUCCUUACAAUAGAACCAGGUCGACUGCCACCCCCUGACUAACUCGGGAAGAAUUAUAGCAGGGAAAGUACUUUUACCCCUCAUCUGGAUCCCUAGACCUCCACACAUCUGGAUCACGUGUGUCCUCUCAUCACUCGGAUUAGCCUUUUUUACAGACUAAGAACGACAAGUGAAAAUGUGUUUGAAGAGACCCCAGUGCGGUCGACAGCCCAGAAAAUUCUCACACAUGGACACGAAUGCAGCGAGGUAGGUGAUGGUGUUGGGGGAGAAGUGAUGAAGUUGGGCUCCAGAAAAGUUCAGAAAGCCCCGGAAGAAAGGAUGGGGGGCAAAGAGAAACCGCGGUCGACGUGAGUCGCGAGAAGGACACACUCACCCUCCUGCGGUUGCGGCUCGGUCUCGUCCUCCGGAAGCCGCCAGGAACCAUGGGGAAUAAAUCUCCCAUCAACCAGAUCCUCCAGAUCCUCCUGCUAGAUCAUGGAUCGAAUCCAGUCGCCCUGGAUCCAGCAGGGCGGCAGGCCAGAUCUCGACGACGACCCUCCCCGGGUCGUCUUCUUGCCCUUCGCCUUCACCGUCGCCUUCUUCGCACGCUCCAGGGUUGCCGUCUUGUCCUUCACCAUUGCUGUGAGUGGCACUCGGGCUGGGCGGCGGCAUCGAGGGUGGAGGCGGACGGAGGGGAGAAGCAGAGGAGGAAGAAAGAAAAUGAGACGCACUGUGCAAAAAACACCGGCCCAGACGCCUUAUAUGGGCCUAAUCCGACUGACUUGUGGGCCCAAGCAAUCCUGUCAAAUCCCGCAACGGGUGCGUGCUUGGUACCUGGCAAAAAAGGAGGCGCGAAAAUUGAGGCACCCCUGCCUAAUCCGCUCCGCUCACUGCGGUCCUCUCCGUCCCGUGCGCUUCUCAAAAUUUCGAAUCCCGUGAGAUCCAGGGAUGCCAGUGCAGUCGAUUGCGCCGAAGAUUUUAUACCAUAUCAGCAUUCGAAGCUUAUCAGCAAAAUUCACUCAACAUUCUCAGAAUGGAUCAAGGCGACUGAAAAUGAGGUCGAACUUUCUGCAUGGUUCACCAAUCCAAGUAAAAUGCUUCCGAAGCAUGAAAGUUGGGUCGGAACCAUCUUCAACUCCAUCUCCACUCGGACCCUGAACCAUUCGGGGGCUAAUCACGAUGACAUGUACCUAGGGUAGGGUAAUAGACAUGAUCUAGACACCCAUCCCAAGGACACUGCCCUACAGUCAAAGACAUUCAAAGGAUGGCAACUUCUACCGACUGAAAUCACCUCAGGAUGCAACCCACUCGACCAACGGUUCCGCUCGGAUAACCCAAUUCCAUUCGACCAGGAUAUAAUCAUUCGAUCAUAUCAGAAACCACUCGGAGUACAGAAGAUCUAAGGUUACUCUGGAUGGCAACGGUCAGACGUUCACUCCGUAGUCUUAAUGAUCAUUUAUAUGACUUUAAUGCUGACGUUACAGUAACGUCCCCUCUUUAUGUACAUUGAACCCUAUGUAACCGGGGAUGGCUGGGGUCCUGGUGCACUCUAUAUAAGCCACCCCCCUCCUCUAGGACAAGGGUUCCCACCCCCUGUAACUUCACGCAUAAUCCAAUCGACCAGCCUCCGGGCACCGAGACGUAGGGCUGUUAAUUCCUCUGAGAAGGGCCUGAACUCGUAAGUCUUGCGUGCACAACUUCACCGUAGCUAGGAUCUUGCCUCCUCAUACCUACCCCCCAUUCUAUUGUCAGACUUAGAACCACGACAGAUCCCUCACGCUUGCGUGACACAGAGAGGACCAUAGGACAACACCAAUAAUAAAACAUACAACUCAAACCAAUCACGAUCAUCAAUUAACCCAUAGGACAAAAUGGGUCUACUCAAACAUCAUAGGAUAGCCAUACAUCAUUGGGAAAUAAUAUAUAGCAUUGAGCACCAUGUUUAAGUAGAGAUUAAAGUGGGGAGAAGAGGUGUUACACCGCUGCAUAGAGGGGGAGAGAGUUGGUGAUGACGGCGGCGAAUUUGUUGGUGUAGAUCACAGUCACGAUGAUGGUCUUGGCGGUGUUCCGAUGCCACCGGGAGGGAGGGGGAGAGAGCCCCCUCCUUCUUCACUACUGCAGGAUGCUGCUAACGCGACACUACGAUCAGAGACCCUUCAAAGAAAUUGUGUGCGAUGCCAUAAUCACAAACGGUGGUGUAAAAUAACCGUCAAAAAAAGGUGCAAAACAUUUGCGAUGGAGGAUGCAUGAAACACGGUUCAGAUUUUAGUUGCGUGUGCGAUGCAGGGCAUACGGUUCAGCUCAAUUAACUGUUUGCGAUGAGGAGGAACAAAAGAAACGGGCAGCCAGAUGAAGGUGUGUGCGAUGUACAUCAUACGGUUCACUCGGAUGAACUGUUUGUGAUUAGGCAACACAAAAGAAACGGUCAGCCCGAUCAAGGUGUGUGCGAUGUACAGCAUACGGUUCACUCGGAUGAACUGUUUGUGAUUAGGCAAGAGAACAGAAACGGUUCAAUAUAACAAGAUGUGUGUGAUACGCGGUAGAUAGGUCUGUAAUCAGAAAUGUGUGCGAAGACUGAUAAUAACGCAGACGAUUGCUUCUAAUAAGACGUAUGUGAUAUGCUCUGUCUACACAACAUCUAUUGGCCAUUGUGGGAUGGGCGGUCAUCCGGAUAUGCCAUAAGGAUGUGAAGAGGCGUUCCUAUUAGCAAGGACUAGCUGUUCCACCUGUAGCUCAUGUAAGAAAACUAUCAAGUUAAGUGUGCUCAGGCUGGAGCAGCCAUCGGAUGGGUGACUGGAUGGGAAGUUGUGUCGACGUUAAAUUAGGUGAUGGGAUGGGUCAUUUCGGUCAAAUGACCAAAAUGCCCCAUUCCCUCAGCUAAUUUAACCUCGAGGUCCUGGUUUUUUUUAACACAUGUUAAAGAAGGUCUACCGCAUUACUUUUUGACAAUGUGCGAUACGUGGCAUACAAUUGAUCCAUCCGACCUAUUUGUGAUGGAAUAGGUCGUGCGUGUUGUGGGAAAACGCUUGCUAGUAUUCAACCGUUUGGUAUUGAUGAAUUCAUCACCGACGGGUUCCCUAGUGUGGUCCAUGUUCAUCUGAUCAUCAUCUACUUCUUGUGCUAGCUCGAUGCUAAGUUUCCAUUAAUUGAUGGCGUUUUAUGAACACGCCACCAUUUCCCGCCAUUUCCUCACCUGUUUCUCGCCACCCUGCUAUAUUGCGCAUAGGGGGCGCGCGACACACGAAGGCGACAAGCGCAGCCUGUAACACAUCCACCUUUUCCAAGCAUGACAACCCACCAAAGCGCCGCCUUUGCCAUCAACCUCGUCGACGAGGAAAACGAGUAGGCGCCAUGGCCCGUCGAGGCUGAGGCGCUCCCCGGCAACUCGAUGGACGACACCGUGAUGCACGUCAUCGCCAGGGUUGAGGGUUGAGCAGACCUUUGGCGCAUGGCGCUUGAGCACCAUGGAUCAAGAUAGGCAUGUCAGCGCUCACAGGCUGCAGCUCGCUGCACAACAUGAUUGAUGGCGCGCCGCAGAGCAAGCUAGGCGCGUCCGCGCCGAUAGGCUGCGGCUCGCCGCACGGCGAGACCGUUGGAGCGUCGCAGAGCGAGAGGCGCGGCGCGCCGCACAGCAAGAGCGGAUCCAUCGGCGCUUGCCUGCUGUCGACACGGAGUCGUAGCUGGGUACAUGUCCUGUCAGUACCCCCACUCCUCGCCAGGAGUGGGCAGAGGCCCUCAGCGCCGUACUUGCACCAGAGGCCGGCCGCGCUGUACUUGCACCGGACGCCCGCCGCGCUGUUCGCAUGGGUGCCGCCGUUCGCCUUAUCCGCGGCCCGCUAGAUGCCAACGCGCUGGUCCGUAGGCUCGACCGCCUCCUUGGCCCAGGUGUCCACCUGGGCGCAGUAGAGGAACAUGGCCAUCGCAUCCUCGAGAUGGUGAUCUCCGAUGAAAUAGCCAACUUGGAGCUCUAGAUCGCGCUCCAGAUGUACCGCGAGCGUGUCGACCACUUGGACGAACGCCUGCACGAGUUCAGGCAGAGCCAAGAGCUACCCUAGGCAAGGGCUGCUGGUCAUGGUCUCAUGGACGCGUUUUAUUUUGAAAAAUCGUUACAACGUGGAUAGCUAUAUAUUCACAGCAAUCAUAGUAUUGCUCUGUUUAUUGCUCUAUUUCAAUGUGUGUACUAUGUUUUCCAUUCUUAUAUGUUCUGUUUCAAUGUGUGUGUGUAUACGCUUUCCAUUCUGUAUAUGUGGAUGAUAAUAGCUAGAUUCAAAUUAGUAUACAAAAACAGAUAGAAAAUGGAAUUCAUAAUAUAUAUGUAUAUAUUAAUUAUUCAUUAGAUCAUCAUAGAAUAUAUAUAGAUAUAAUAUCAUCACAUAUACGUGAUGAUACUUAAUUACUAGGUACAAUGCAUAAAAUUGAAAACGAACAAUACUAAAACUAAUAAUCCCUCCUGGGGCCAGUAUUCCGGCAGCCCCUCGCCAGCAGCUCCCUGGUGCGCGGCGUCUUCCCAGUGCUGAGGCAGUACUCCGACUCCUCCGCCUUGCAGCGCCUGACGUACCGAUCUGCCUCUUGCUGGCGGACGCGCGUGGCCGAUCUUGACAUUUCGUUGGGCGCCCACCAGAGCUCCUCGUCGGUGGCACGCUGGAGCUUAUCGGCCCACCUCCACGCAGCGACGAGGCGCCCAGCGCCUAUGACCUUCCUCGCGAAGUACCCGUCUUCGUACACCUCCUUGGCGCGACGACGCACCCGCCCCCAAAGCUCCGCCGCCUCCUUUUUUCAGGCGGCAUCACGGGCUUCAUAGGCCGCCUGGUACCUGGCUUCCUCCACCAUCUCCUUCUUGAACGCCACUUGCCUGGAUUUCUCAGCCGGAUGAGGGGAGGAUGUAGAUGAGAAUGUAGGCGGGACGACGUGAGCAAGGUAGUAUUUAUUGGCGGACGGAAUCUAGAUCAACGGGGACAGUACACACACCGGUCGCCGAAAUUUACAAGUACUGUAGUUUGAAUUACACACAAUUCCCGCAGCAAAUCCGUGUGUGAACAUAAUAGCUGACGGUUUCCAAUACAGAACCGUGUCUGAUUAAUGAUCCCCGCCAAUCACCUACCAAACCUCGAGCCGCGAGAUAGAGUGCCAAUCGUGUGGGGGCCGGUUGUCUUGCUAGAUCUUUACAUUUUCUUUUUUAAACACCGGAUAUUUACAUCGUCUGAUGAUUUUUUAACUCGCACACAAGUACACAAAAAUAUGAUUUUUCAAACCGUUUUGGUUAGGUGUUGCAUGUAGAUGUAGUUCAAAUUUGAAUUACGGUCAUUAAAUGGUUAGAAAAUCACUUAAAUGUCUUUAAAAGGUCAAAUGACCCCUCAAAAUUUCCAAAGUUUCACAUGACAGUUGUAUUAGUGCACGUUAAACGUAGGAAAAAAAUUGAAGGCCGUAAGAGGAAGCUAUCUCCCGUCCGUCAGCAAACAUGCAUUGUUCCCUCUUGGAACCACGAACCUUCUAGCGAGUUGCUCCGGUUUGUGAGGGGUGUGUGUCCAAACUUUCGUCAAACAGGCCAAUUUUUUGACCACAUCAUCUUUGUGGCAUGACAUUAAUUCAAGCAAGGUUUCAUGUUUUUCUGAUCAUUUUUUAAUUUUUUGGAAUUAAAAUGCCAGGGCAUGCACUCCAUGCAUGUGCCCAUGCCUUGACACCAAUAUGUUUGAAAUUUCCUUUUAAUUUACUGCACAUGGAAUUAACUCGCACACAAGUACACAAAAAUAUGAUAUUUCAAACCGUUUUGGUUAGGCGUUGCAUGUACAUGUAGUUCAAAUUUGAAUUACGGUCAUUAAAUGGUUAGCAAAUCACUUAAAUGUCUUUCGAAGGUCAAAUGACCCCUGAAAUUUACCAAAUUUUCACAUGAUAGUUGCCCGUUAAACGUAGGAAAAAAAUUUAAGGCCGUAAGAGGAAGCUAUCUCCUAUUCGUCAUCAAACAUGCAUUGUUCCCUCUCGGAACCACGAACCUUCUAACGAGUUGCUCCGGUUUGUGAGGGGCGUGUGCCCAAACGUUCGUCAAACAUGCCAAUUUCUUUACCACAUCAUCUUGGUGGCAUGACAUUACAUCAACCAAGGUUUCAUGUGUUUCUGAUCAUUUUCUAAUUUUGUGAAUUAAAAUGCCAUGUCACUCCAUGCAUACGUAUGCAUCACUACAGGAAACAGCUACUUUGCUGUCUGCCAUGGCGGACGGCAAAGGCUCGAAAGGCGGACGGCAAAGACCUUUGCCGUCAGCCGCGGACGGCAAAAGGCUCCGGCAAAGAAGGCUACGGUAAACAGCUGCUUUGCCGUCUGCUUCCUGGCGGCGGACGGCAAAGGCUCUUUGCCGUCUGCGGCGGACGGCAAAGAGGGCGGACGGCAAUAUUUGCGAUGUUAGUCCGUUAAGUGGCUAACGGCAGACCUUUGCCGUCCGCCGCAGACGGCAAAGAGCCUUUGGUCUUUGCCGUCCGCCUUAUGAUGUCAUCUACACGUCACUAGAUGGCAGGUUCUUUGCCGUCUGCCACUGAUGGCAAAGUGCAGGUUCUGUGCCGUCUGCCACGGACGGCAAAGUCUUUGCCGUCUGCCAUUGUAGGCAAACUGACCAAAUGGGUCAGCUCCCAGGAAGCACAGUUGGCUGCCACGUGGCUUCUUUGCCGUCCGCCGCAGACGGCAAAGGCUCUUUGCCGUCGGUGGCAGACGGCAAAGAGGCUGCAUAUUGUCUGUUUUUUUCUGUUUUUUAUUAAAUCCCACAAUUUGCAGCACAUAUCACAUAUAUAAGUUUCAUAUCCAGCACAUAUCCAACACAUAUCUAGCACAUAAGUUUCAUAUCACAUAUCACAUCAGUUUCAUCCAUACACAUUGUUCAUACAUAAGGAAGUUCCAUCCAUACACAUUGUUCCAUCCAUAUAUAUAUUACAAUGCAAAGUGUCAUGAAGAUAGCAAGCUAGAUACAAUGCAAAGUUUCAUCAAAGGAAAAGCAAGCACUCCAUCAUAGCUAGCUAGCUUCCAUCAAGUGAAUGAAAUCUGCAAAAUGGUAAACAAGAAAGUUAGAAAUAGGUGACUAGAACAAGAAGAAGACUAGAACAAGAAGUAUAUGUCAUUUAUGAGCUAACUUAGGUGAAAUGGAUCAUAUAUGAGCUAACUAAGUUGAAAUGGGUUGUUUAUGAGCUAACUUAGUUGAAAUGGAUCAUUUAUGAGCUAACUUAGUUGAAAUGGGUCGUUUAUGAGCUAACUAAGGUGAAGGGCAUCGUUUUUGAGCUAAGUAAGGUGAAAUGGGUCAUUUUGGAGCUAACCUAGUUGAAAUGGAUCGUUUUUGAGCUAACUUAGUUGAAAUGGAUCGUUUUUGAGGUAACUAAGGUGAAAUGGAUCGUUUUUUAGCUCACUUAGGUCAAAUGGAUCGUUUUUGAGCUAACUUAGUUGAAAUGGAUCGUUUUUGAGCUAACUUUGUUGAAAUGGAUCAUUUUUGAGCUAAUUUAGUUGAAAUGGAUCGUUUUUGAGCUAACUUAGGUGAAAUGGAUCAUUUAUGAGCUAAUUUAGUUGAAAUGGAUCUUUUUUGAGCUAACUUAGGUGAAAUGGAUCAUUUAUGAGCUAAUUUAGUUGAAAUGGAUCUUUUUGAGCUAACUUAGGUGAAAUGGGUCGUUUAUGAGCUAACCUAGGUGAAAUGGGUCGUUUAUGAGCUAACCUAGGUGAAAUGGGUCGUUUAUGAGCUAACCUAGGUGAAAUGGGUCGUUUAUGAGUUAACCUAGGUGAAAUGGGUCGUUUAUGAGCUAAUUAUGCAAUUUUUGACAUAAGUAAGCUAAGUACAUAUCGUUUUAGAGCUAACUUAGGUAAAAUGGAUGGUUUAUGAGGUCAGUAAGCUUAUUAAGUCAUUUUGGAGGAAAAGAAGCUAACUCUAGGUCAUUAUGGUAAGCAUAUUGGAGGAAAUAAAGCUAAGUCUAGGUCUUUAUGCAUUUGUUAAGCAAAACACUAGAGAAACUUACCGUGAUCAGGGAGGUGUAGGAGCGGGCUGGCUAGUGCCGGUAGCUGGAGAAGGAUCAUGCGAUGCAUUUNNNNNNNNNNNNNNNNNNNNNNNNNNNNNNNNNNNNNNNNNNNNNNNNNNNNNNNNNNNNNNNNNNNNNNNNNNNNNNNNNNNNNNNNNNNNNNNNNNNNNNNNNNNNNNNNNNNNNNNNNNNNNNNNNNNNNNNNNNNNNNNNNNNNNNNNNNNNNNNNNNNNNNNNNNNNNNNNNNNNNNNNNNNNNNNNNNNNNNNNNNNNNNNNNNNNNNNNNNNNNNNNNNNNNNNNNNNNNNNNNNNNNNNNNNNNNNNNNNNNNNNNNNNNNNNNNNNNNNNNNNNNNNNNNNNNNNNNNNNNNNNNNNNNNNNNNNNNNNNNNNNNNNNNNNNNNNNNNNNNNNNNNNNNNNNNNNNNNNNNNNNNNNNNNNNNNNNNNNNNNNNNNNNNNNNNNNNNNNNNNNNNNNNNNNNNNNNNNNNNNNNNNNNNNNNNNNNNNNNNNNNNNNNNNNNNNNNNNNNNNNNNNNNNNNNNNNNNNNNNNNNNNNNNNNNNNNNNNNNNNNNNNNNNNNNNNNNNNNNNNNNNNNNNNNNNNNNNNNNNNNNNNNNNNNNNNNNNNNNNNNNNNNNNNNNNNNNNNNNNNNNNNNNNNNNNNNNNNNNNNNNNNNNNNNNNNNNNNNNNNNNNNNNNNNGGGGCGGCGGGGCGACGGGGCGGCGGGGGCGACGGGGCGGCGGCGGCGGCGGCGGGGUGGGAGGAGAAGGGCGAGGCGAGGACGAAGUGAGUAACGGGCGGGGGGUACCUGCCGUUAGGCAAGUGCCCUCUUUGCCGUCCGCCAGCCUUUGCCGUCCGCCUUUCUGUCUCUUUGCCGUCCGCUAGCGGACGGCAAAGAGGUGGGCCGUUAGGAUUUUUUCAAACGAGCGGGGGGUGGGGGCCACCACACUCUUUGCCGUCCGCUGGCAGACGGCAAAGACCUGGCAGAUGGCAAAGAGCUUCUUUGCCGUCAGCCUUUUCUUUCCCGUCUGUUUAUGUGUAGCUGAUGGCAAAGAGCUUCUUUGCCGUCAGCUAGCAGACGGCAAAGAUCUGGCAGAUGGCAAAUUAGCUGAUUCCAGUAGUGCAUGUGUAUAUGUCAUGAGACCAAUAUGUUUGAAAAUUCCUUCUAAUUUACUGCACAUGGAAUUAACUCGCACACAAGUACACAGAUAUGAUUUUUCAAACUGUUUUGGUUAGGCGUUGCAUGUAGAUGUAGUUCAAAUUUGAAUUACGGUCAUUAAAUGGUUAGAAACUCACUUAAAUGUCUUUAAAAGGUCAAAUGACCCCUAGAAUUUUCCAAAAUUUCACAUUACAGUUGUAGUAGUGCACGUUAGACGGAGAAAAAAUUUGAAGGCCGUAAGAGGAAGCUAUCUCCCGUUCGUCAUCAAACAUGCAUUGUUCCCUCUCGGAACCACGAACCUUCUAGCGAGUUGCUCCGGUUUGUGAGGGGCGUGUGUCCAAACUUUUGUCAAACAUGCCAAUUUCUUUACCACAUCAUCUUGGUGGUAUGACAUUACAUCAACCAAGGUUUCAUGUGUUUCUGAUUUUUUUUGGAAUUAAAAUGCCAUGCCACUCCAUGCAUACGUAUUGAUGCAUAUGUGUCCAUGUCAUGAUACAAAUAUGUUUGAAAAUUCCUUCUAGUUUACUGCACAUGGAAUUAACUCAUACACAAGUUCACAAAUAUGAUUUUUCAAACCGUUUUGGUUAGCCGUUGCAUGUAGAUGUAGAUCAAAUUUGAAUUACGGUCAUUAAAUGGCUAGAAAAUCACUUAAAUGUCUUUAAAAGGUCAAAUGACCCCUAGAAUUUUCAAAAAUUUCACAUUACAGUUGUAGUAGUGCACGUUAGACGUAGAAAAAAAUUGAAGGCCGUAAGAGGAAGCUAUCUCCUGUUCGUCAUCAAACAUGCAUUGUUCCCUCUCGAAACCACGAGCCUUCUAGUGACUUGCUCCGGUUUGUGAGGGGUGUGUGUCCAAACUUUGGUCAAACAUGCCAAUUUUUUACCACAUCAUCUUGGUGGCAUGACAUUACAUCAACCAAGGUUUCAUGUGUUUCUAACUAUCUUUUUGAAAUUAAAAUGCCAUGUCACUCCAUGCUUAAUUGUGUCAUAGCCGUUAGACCAAUAUGUUUGAAAAUUCCUUCCAAUUUACUGCACAUGGAAUUAAAUCGCACACAAGUACACGAAAUAUGAGUUUUCAAACCGUUAUGGUUAGCUGUUGCAUGUACAUGUAGUUCAAAUUUCAAUUACGGUCAUUAAAUGGCUAGAAAAUCACUUAAAUGUCUUAGAAGGUCAAAUGACCCCUGAAAUUUUCCAAAAUUUGACAUGACAGUUGUAUUACUACUACAAAAUUUCUCGUUCAUUUAAAACACCAUCCAUUGGCACUUUAUUCCAAAUUCGUCUUUCACAGCUAAUAAAAAAAUAUCUACAACAUCACACACAGUUGUUUUCUAGGAACCGUUUGCGAUGAAAAUAUCUGGGUCUAUUUAAAUCUCCCUCCUUAAGCUUCGCCGGCUCGUCUGCUCUAGUACCGGUAACACCUGAAUCCACGAAUCCUGAUCCCCAUUCCCGCACCCUCUUUGAAGGCUCGUACGAUGGUCGCUUCCCCCCCGAGCGCCGCCGCCUGCACCGAGAGUGCGGCCGCCUACGCCGAGAGUGCCGCCGCAUCCACAUUGAGCGCGGCCGCUUCCGCCGAGAGGGCGUCUGCGACAGCCGACAGGGCAGCAGCAGCAGCCGAGACGGCUGCAGCUGCUGCUGCGACGGCGGCUGCAAACGCCGAGAGCGCUCGAGCUACCGUCCGUGCAGCUGAUGUCGCCCUGGCCCGGGUCGAGGCCAUCCACGGCAAGAUCGAUGAUGCACACGCCAAGAUAUUCCAGGCAACCUCGGACUCCAGCAUGCAACCCACAUCUGAAAAGGCGGUGGUGGCCAUGGAGCACCUGCUUCCUCAUGAGGUCACCGAGCGGGAGCUAGAGAUGCAGGAGGCGGCGGAGAUCGAGGAGCGCCGGGAGGAGGAGUUGCGCGGGGCAGAGGUCGAGGUAGAGAAGAGUUUGUCCGUCGAGGAAUCGGCGGUGGAGUACCAACGCGAGCUCUGGCGCAGCCACUACUACGAGUACUACAACCUUGAGGGCGGCGCCGAGGACGAGGACGAGGAUGAGGACGCGGUCGACUUCAGCAGGGGGGCACGGAGUCCACCAAUGGCGGCAUGUCGCCAGGACAAGUCAUCGAUGUCUCAUCUCACACCGGCGAUGCAUAGGCCAGCGCGGUGGUGGAUUUUUAAUUAUGCAUACUUAGGGUUUGUUUUUAAUGCUGGUCUUUUGUUAGAGCAAUGUUUAGGUCAACUGGCUCUGUGUAAUUACUAAAAUAGCUCGAUUCAGUAAGUGCGGUAUGUCUGUUGUACACUCUUUUGUGUGCCCAAAUUAGCAAGCGAUGUUAAAUUAUGCAAUGACGUACCCGGGGAAAUUUCCACCAAAAUUUGAAUUAUCAAACUCAUCCCAUGCGCGUAAAGCAGAAGAAUCGUUUGCGAUGCACACAAUUGUUCAAAGUGAAUGGUCCAGCGGCACAGCGCGCGUUCAAAGUGAAUGUGCCCAUGCCUUGAGACCAAAAUUUGAAUUAUCAAACUCAUCCCAUGCGCAUAAAGCAGAAGAAUCGUUUGCGAUGCACACAAUCGUUCAAAGUGAAUGGUCCGGCGGCACCGCGCGCAAAGUUUCCCUCCACAUUUCCAAAAUUUUGGCCUAUCGCCAAAAUAUCCACCCCUGCCCCCCUCCCCCACCCCCUUUUCUCCCUGACAACAAGUCACAUUUCCCCUGUUUCCUCCUUCCUUCCUUCCUUGCUAAGCUAUAGCCGCUUCCUCGCUCUCGCCGUCUCGCAUCCUACCGCCGGGGUCGCCAUGGUCUUCUUCAAAGACAUCUCCAGCGGUUCCUCCUCCGGCGACUACUCCUUCACCACCCGGGUAUGCCUCUCUUCUCUCUCUCGGGCUAUGACUUGGAAUGAAGGAUUUUUACCCGGAGGUCGAUUUGAGUUGUUUCUUCCUCUUGUAGCUCCCUAAGACCAUCAGUGGCAACGAAUGGAGCGGGGUGGCUGAAGAUCUAUCUGCUCGUUGUCACCAUCAAUCUCCAUGCGUGAAGCUAGUUGCGUUUGAUUCUGUGGACAGUGGGAUGAAGUUUCUGGCAUGUGCAGAGAAGGUUAGACCCUCUUUCGUUGUUACAUAUCAUUUGUUAGAUGUGAUUCAGACACUGUCACGGUCCCAACCCAUUCACAGUUUGUACCUAGUAUCUUAAAUUGUUGCCAUCUCAUCAGCGGUGCCAUUAGAAAAUUAUUUGGCACCGCUUCAGCAGUUUGUGCAGCCAACUUUGGUCCACACAUCCGAGUAGCCACGCAGUAAAAUACUAAAUCUUUAUGGCACGAAGGAACUGGGCAUCGGAGCAACUACGUGCUCCGGAGUCCGGGUCCCUGAUUUUUUUCCCGCUGCAUCGGCUCGCCAGUGCAGGGCACCGGUGCGAGAUGUAGCAACAGUUGUCUUUACCCCAGUUUUGGCAUAUAUAUAUAGUGGACGACCUUAGUGCUAUUAGUUCUAUGUUACUAAAUUUGUGCAUGUACACACCUGUUAGUAUCAAUUUGUUGUCAUCCAAACACUGUCGCUAUGUUAUUGCAGUUAUAUUUACCUUCCUCAUAAAAUGUUCAAUUUGUUAUUUAUUGUACAUGAGUAAGAACUUGUAGCAUCGUUGUAGUUAAUUAUAGCUUCGGAUGUUCCAGAAUUUGGUUGUUGUCUCAGUACCAAUUAUUUCAUUUGCACAUUGAUCUUUUUGAGAAGAUGUGUCAUAAUUAACAUGUUUCUUUAGUUUUUCAAAAUAAGCAUUGGUGAUUUUCUAUGUUGCUAUAAACCCAUUUCCCCUACAAUUGUUACUGAUCUAGUUUUAAAUAUUAUAGGAUGAAGGGAAGUGUUCUUACUUGGAGUGGGUUGAUCAAGAGUGGCCACAGUCUUUGAAGAUGUGCUUAACGAAGCUCUGGAGCAUGUAUGAGGAAGACAACACACGUAGGCUUAGAGAAAGCCUUGUCAACGCUGAAGCAUAUUUCAAGAUGCGGGAUAAAAAGUUGAAGGUGGAAAAUGAGCUCAGAUUUUUUAAAUCGACUUUGCUAAGGUGGUGUUGGCGAAGGAGGAGGCACUUUCCCAGUUGGCCCGUGCAAAACGGGUUCUUACUGAACUGAAAGCAGAGGUGGAUAAGACGAGCCUGGAUGAUCUCGAUUAGGGAAAUGAAUAUAUUGUUCUUAUGAAGUUGAACUAGCUAUAUGUUGUACUGUGUUGUUUUCAUGUAGCUGCCGUAUUGUGAUGUUAUAAUAUAUUUAUGUGCCUGAUAUGAAAUUGGCAGACAGUUGUUCGAUAUGAAAUGUGAAUUUACGUAAUACUGGAAUUAUUAAUUGUAAACUAAUAAACCUGCUAAAUGUGUCAUGGACCUUUGCAAACGUUUCUAGCAAUAAAAGCGCUUGCGAUGGGUAGCUCAAUGCCACACAGUUUUCUUCAUCAAAUCGUGUGUGAUAUAGUUGAUAAAAGCAAAUAGUUAACCAAGGAAGACCGUGUGUGAUAGUUACACCUUUCACACACGAGCCUACACAUAAAACUGUGUGGGAUGUACGUCCGAACGGAAACGUUUUCCCUGGAUUGACUGUGUUGGAUGUACAUAAGAAUGGAAACGUAUUCCUUGGAUUGACUGUGUGUGAUAUACAUACGAACGGAAAUGUUUUUCUGGGAUUCACCGUGUGGGAUAUACAUACCUAUGGAAAUGAUUUUCUCGGAUUACCGUGUGGGAUGUACAUACCUACGGAAAUGAUUUUCUUGGAUUACCGUGUGGGAUGUACAUACCUACGGAAAUGAUUGGGUUUCGAUGCCUCGCCCGAUCGCACACGGCCCCAGCCUGGGUCCCAGGAGGGCCUAUUCCCGAAGAGUUUUGGGUCAUGUGGGAAGGACACCCUAUCGCACACACUCACUUGCCGAUGGUUCCAAAUGCCAUCGCGGAAAGGGGUUAAAAGCCGUUUGUUUAGGACCGACGCGCACCAGUGCUUCUUCUUCCUUGACCUUUCCCCUAGAUGGGAGAAGGGUUUCCCCUCUGGUCCAUGGCCUCCAUGGCGGCGGAGGGGCGGGAGCCCCUCUGAGAUUGGAUAUCUCUCUCUGUUUCCUUCUGUUUCUGUGCUCCCAGAUUCUGGCCUUUCACCGGUUCUUGAAUUCCCGGAGAUCCAUAACUCCGAUUGGGAUGAAAUUUUAACAUGAUUUUUAUCUGGAUAUUAGCUUUCUUGCAGCGAAAGAAGGGCACCAACCACAUUACGGGGUGACCACAAGGGUCCAGGGCGCGCCCAACCCCCGGAGGCGCGCCCCCUGCCUUGUGGCCCCCUCGGUCUUCGUCUCGCGUUGAUUCCAAUUCCCAAAAUUCACAUAUAUUCCAAAAAAAAUCUCUGUAAGUUUUUAUCACCUUUGGAGUCUGUUUGAUAUGGAUUCUUUGCGAAACAACAAACAUGCAACAAACAGGAACUGACACUAGGCACUAAAUCAAUAUGUUAGUUUAAGAAAAUAGUAUAAAAAGUUUCCAAAAGGAUGUAAAAGUUGUAGAAUAUUGGCAUGGAACAAUCAAAAAUUAUAGAUGCGUCGGAGACGUAUCAGCAUCCCCAAGCUUAAUUCUUGCUCGUCCUCGAGUAGGUAAAUGAUAAAAAAGAUAUUUUUUUAUGUGGAAUGCUAUCUAGCAUAAUCUUGACCAUAUGAUCUAAUCAUGGCAUGAAUAUUAAUACACGAGUGAUUCAAAGCAAUAGUCUAUCAUUUGACAUAAAUACAAUAAUACUUCAAGCAUACUAAUAAAGCAAUCAUGUCUUCUCAACAUAAUAUGGCCAAAGAAAGUUAUCCCUACAAAAUCAUAUAGUCUGGCUAUGCUCCAUCUUCACCACACAAAGUAUUUCAUCAUGCACAACCCCGAUGACAAUCCAAGCAAUUGUUUCAUACUUUUAGUGUUCUCAAGCCUUUUCAAUUUUCACGCCAUACAUGAGCGUGAGCCAUGGAUAUAGCACUAUAGGUGGAAUAGAAUAUGAUGGUGGAGGUUGUGUGGAGAAGACAAAAAGGGAGGAAGUCUCACAUCGACGCGGCUAAUCAAUGGGUUAUGGAGAUGCCCAUCAAUUAAUGUCAAUGCGAGGAGUAGGGAUUGCCAUGCAACGGAUGCACUAGAGCUAUAAGUGUAUGAAAGCUCACAAAUGAAACUAAGUGGGUGCGCAUCCAGCUUGCUUGCUCAUGAAGACCUUGGGCAUUUGAGGAAACCCAUCAUCGGAAUAUACAAGCCAAGUUCUAUAAUGAAAAUUCCCACUAGUAUAUGAAAGUGAUAACUCAAGAGACUCUCUAUAUGAAGAACAUGGUGCUACUCUGAAGCACAAGUGUGGUAAAAGGAUAGUAGCAUUGCCCCUUCUCUCUUUUUCUCUCAUUUUUUCCUUUUUUAUUUUUUUCUCUCUUUUUUGGCUCUCCUUUUUUUUACUCCCUUUUUUCGUCCGGAGUCUCAUCCCGACUUGUGGGGGAAUCUUAGUCUCCAUCAUCCUUUCCUCACCGGGGCAAUGCUCUAAUAAUGAUGAUCAUCACACUUUUAUUUACUUACAACUCGAUAUUACAACUCAAUAUCUAGAACAAAGUAUGACUAUAUGAAUGCCUCUGGCAGUAUACCAGGAUGUGCAAUGAUCUAGCAUAGCAAAAGAUAUCAAAAACCGGACAAGCCAUGAAAAUAUCAUGCUAGCUAUCUUACGAUCAUGCAAAGCAAUAUGACAAUGAAUGCUCAAGUCAUGUAUAUGAUGAUGAUGGAAGUUGCAUGGAAAUAUAUCUCGGAAUGGCUAUGGAAAUGCCAUGAUAGGUAGGUAUGGUGGCUGUUUUGAGGAAGAUAUAAGGAGGCUUAUGUGUGACAGAGCAUAUCAUAUCACGGGGUUUGGAUGCACCGGCGAAGUUUGUUGGGGAACGCAGUAUUUCAAAAAUUUUACCUACGAUCACGCAAGACCUAUCUAGGAGAUGCAUAGCAAUGAGAUGGGAGAGUGUGUCCACGUACCCUCGUAGACCGAAAGCGGAAGCGUUUAGUAACGCGGUUGAUGUAGUCAAACGUCUUCACGAUCCAACCGAUCCAAGUACCAAACGUACGGCACCUCUGUGUUCAGCACACGUUCAGCACGAUGACGUCCCUCGAGCUCUUGAUCCAGUUGAGGACGAGGGAGAGUUCUGUCAGCACAAUGGCGUGGCGAUGGUGAUGAUGAAGUUACCGGCGCAGGGCUUCGCCUAAGCACUACGACGAUAUCACCGAGGUGGUAAACUGUGGAGGGGGGCACCGCACACGGCUAAGAGAUUGUCUGUUGUGCUUUGGGGUGCCCCCUGCCCCCAUAUAUAAAUGAGGGAGGAGGAGGCCGGCGGCCAGGGAGGAGGCGCGCCAGGGGGGUCCUACUAGGACUCCAAACCUAGUAGGAAUCGCGCCCCCCUCCCUGAUCCAAGAGGGGGAAGGAGGGAAGGGGAGGGCGAGGGGAAGGAAGGGGGGCCGCACCCCCUCCCCUUAGUCCAAUUCGGACUGCCCUUGGGGGGCGCCACCUUGUGGUCUUCCCUCUCCUUUUCCCUUAUGGCCCAUUAAGGCCCAUAACUUCCCCGGGGGGUUCCGGUAACCCCUCGGUUCCUCGAUAAAUAUCUGAAACGUCCCGAAACCAUUCCGGUGUCCGAAUACCUUCGUCCAAUAUAUCAAUCUUUACCUCUCGACCAUUUCGAGACUCCUCGUCAUGUCCGUGAUCUCAUCUCGUUAAUACAAUUCUAGCAUGAAUAAUAAACAUUUAUCAUGAUAUAAGGAAAUAUAAAUAACAACUUUAUUAUUGCCUCUAGGGCAUAUUUCCUUCAAAGUUUGCACUAACUCUCGAGGUGAGAAAGGGCAAUGCACGGUACCGAAGAGGCUAGCAAUAAUGGGAGGGUGAGAGUGCGUAUAAUCCAUGGACUCAACAUUAGUCAUGAAGAACUCACAUACUUAUUGCAAAAAUCUAUUAGCUAUCGAAACAAAGUACUACACACAUGCUCCUAGGGGGUAGAUUGGUAGGAAAAGACCAUCGCUUGUCCCCGACCGCCACUCAUAAGGAAGAAAAUCAAAAAAUAAAUCAUGCUCCAACUUCGUCACAUAAUGGUUCUCCAUACGUGCAUGCUUCGGGAAUCACAAACCUUAACAGAAGUAUUUCUACCAGUCAACAAUUACUCACUAGCAUGACUCUAAUAUCACCAUCUUUAUAUUGCAAAACUAUUGCAAGGAAUCAAACAUAUCAUAUUCUGUGAUCUACAAGUUUUAUGUAGGAUUUUAUGACUAACCAUGUGAAUGACCAAUUCCUGAUGACCCUCUAAAUAGAUAUAAGUGAAGCAAGAGAGUUCAAUUCUUUCUACAAAAGAUAUGCCCACGCUCUAACAAAUAUAAGUGAAGCAAAAGAGCAUUCUACAAAUGGCGGUUUUCUAUGUGUAGGGAAACAGGCAAUCCAAAGACUACAAAAAAAAGACACAUCCAUGACAUUUUGGGCCGAACGAAAAAAAAUUCUGUCAUACUUAUGACACUUCUAUGACAAUAAUUGUGACAAACACGGUAUCAUCAUAGAUGUGGUGGGGUCCUACUUCUAUGACAAAAAAUCAUGACAGAAAAUGGGGUUUUCGUCCUGGGCGGGCCGGAGACGCAGUUGGAUGACAUUCUUUGGGCCGUCCAUGGUGGAAAAAACCGUGGUAGAAGCGAGGGCGAGGAAAAUAUCGGGGUGUUCCCGGUUAUGAUGGGUGGUCGGGGCCGAGCGAUGCGCGUUUCUCUCGUACACGCACGCGCGUGGGUGCGAGGCGUUGGGCUCUAACUGAACCUGAGCGAGGCAUUGGGAUCUAACUGAACCCGAGCGAUUGCACUGCAGGCUACACGUCACUGAACCCGAGCGAUCGAUCGAUGGCUGUUAACUGAACCUGAUCGAGCGAUUCCUUCGCUACUGCUGCUAACUGAAGCCGAUCGAUGCUGCCUCUGGAUGAACAGUGAGCGUUACAGGGGGUUUGGAUGAACAGUUCCCGGUGGGGGUGGAUGAACAGGACCCCGUGGCGUGCCUCUGGAUGAACAGUGAGCGUUGCUGGGGGGGUUUGGAUGAACAAUUCCCGGUGGGGGUGGAUGAACAGGACCCUGAUCAUUCGAGCCGGUUGGGGCUGGAUGAACAGGGCCGCGUGGAGGACAGGAUGAACAGGACCACCCUGUGGAGGGCAGGAUGAACAGUAGACGGUGGAGGGCUGGAUGAACAGUAGCCCGUGGAGGGGUGGUUGAAUAGGAGCCCGUGGAGAGGGCUGGUUAAACAGUAGCUGGUGGAGUAGCGCGCGAUGGAGGCUGGAUGAACAGGAGCCCGUGGAUGAACAGUCGCAGGUGGAGGCUGGAGGAGGUCGACGGUCGAUGAACAGUAGCCCGUGGAGGCUGGAGGGGGUCGACGAUGGAGAUGAACAGUAGCCCGUGGAGGCUAGAGGGGGUCGACGGUGGAGAUGAACAGUAUCCCAUGGAGUCCCGUUUUGUGGUACGCCACACCCCUCCCGAUGAACAGGACCCCCGUUUCGACCGUAGUGCUCCAACACAAGUCCGUUUCCUCUGUUUUGCGGUACGCCACACCCCUCCCGAUCAACAGGACCCCCGUUUCGACCAUAGGAGGUCUGUUUCCUCUGUUUUGCGGUAGACCAGACCCCUCCCGAUGAACAGGAUCCCGUUUCGAACGUGGCCAUUCGAACACAAGGCCGUUUCCUCCGUUCUGCGGUACGCCAGGCCUCGUUUCCAUCGGCUGUUCCGUCCAAGCCCUCCCGAUGAACAUGACGACGACGCAGUUUCUCCGUUCCGACCCAGCCGGUCGACUCCCCAUGAACACGACGACGACGCAGUUUCUCCAAUCCGACCCAGCCAUGUACACGAGCCCUGGCCGUACGUAUGCGCGAGUAGGCGUUCGAGACCCUGCCCGUAUGUACGUACGUGGCCGUAUUUUCUUUCUUGCACACUGGCCGCUAUACGUACGUGUACAAGCUACGUGUGUGCCUCUACUACGACACGUGCGCGCCUCUACAUCGACCAGUAUGUACGUACACGUUCGCGACCAGAAUGACAACGCUACGUACGCUUCGACCAGGUGGGUCCCGACUGUCAGGCACUUCCUUGCGUGCGAAGAUGUAGCUGGUGUGUCCCAGCAGUCAGGGGGGCGGAUAUUUUUUUUUGCCCGGACGCACUUCCUUGCGUGCGAAGAUGUAGCUGGUGGGUCCUAGCAGUCAGGGGGAAACGUUUUUUUCACGAAAUACGGUGGCCCGUCCGGUGGGUCCCCGCUGUCAGGUGGAGGAAUAAUUAUUUUGCGUGUAAUAAGGAGGCACUUCCUUGCUGCGGCCAUGGACCCAGCUGUCAGCCUCUCCACGUAUAGUACACGUCCGAUGGAAGCCGUUCCUUGACCACGUUGACCACGCCGCGCCGAGAGCACCAGGGCAGUGGACGACGGCGAGGCCUAGGAAGGGGACAACGCAAAGCCAGGGAAGACGCGGCAGUGGAAGCCCGCGUGGGAGGAGUACGAGGGUUCACUGGUUCGGCUGCGGUGUGAGGCUGCCGUCGCCGUAGGGCCUGGCCAGCGGUGGGAAUAGUAGGGGCGGUGAGGUCUCCGCGGCAGCACAGCCGGCCAUGGGAGGCAGGAGCAUGCGGCACAACCGGCGCUACUUUGGGUGGCUGGAGCAAGAAGACCAGAGGUUGAAGAAGCACCACGGCCGUUGGAUGGACAUCGUAUGGUCAAUGGAGCUAGAAUCGUUCAUAUUGACUAAGUUGACAAAGCACUCCGUCCCCGUCAACUUAGUAGGCCCACAAGUCAGCCACCCACCAAGGUGGGUCCCAACUAGCAGGGGGAGUAUUCAUUUUUUUGUGCGUAAUAAGGAGGCACUUCCGGUGGGUCCGAGCUGACAUCGGGGGGAACUUUUUUUCGUGAAAUACGAUGACCCGUCCGGUGGGUCCCAGCAGUCAGGGGGGAAACAUUUUUUUUCGCAAAAUACGGUGGCCCGUCUGGUGGGUCCCUGCUGUUAGGUGGAGGCAUCAUUAUUUUCUGUGUAAUAAGGAGGCACUUCCUUGCUGCAGCUGUGGACCCAGCUGUCAGCCUCUCCACGUAUAGUACACUUCCGAUGGAAGUCGUUCCUUGACCACGUUGACCACGCCGCGUUCCGUUGCAUGCAUGCAUCCAUGGGCGUGGUGCGUCCCCACUGUCAGCCUCUCACGUACAGUCAUGUUUCGAUGACUCUCGGUUGUUGACCACGUUGACCACACCGUGCCGAGCGCACCAAAGGCCGGUGGACGACGGCGAGGCCCCAGACUGGAACGACCCAGAGAUGGGGAAGACGGGGCAGUGGAGUCGCAGAUGGAGAGGAGUGGGAAACUUGACUGGUUUGGGUGCACGAAAGCACAGCCGCGGUGCCGCCCACGAGAGACAGGAGCAAGAACAGAGGUUGAAGAAAGAGCACGGCUAUUGGAUUAACAUCCAACGGUCCAGCUGCUAGAAUCAUUUGUUGGUUAAGUUGACAAAGCCCUGCAUACACGUCCGCUUAGUAGGCCCACAAGUCAGCAACCAAAUCUGACGGGUCCCAGCUGUCAACGGGAGGAAUAAUUUUUUUCGCAUAACAAGGAGGCACUUCCUUCCGUGCGAAGAUACAGCCGGUGGGUCCCAGCUGUCAGGUGGAGGAAACAUUUUUUCAGCUUAAUAAGGAGGAACUUUCCUUGCGUGCGACCAUGGACCUCGUGGGUCCCAGCCGUCAGGCUCUCCAUGUACAGUCCUCUUCCGAUGACUCUCGUUUGUUGACCACGCCGCACCGAGCGCAGCGAGGCGGUGGACGGCGGCGAGGCCCCGGACGGGAACAACUCGGAGAUGGGAAGAUGCGGCAGUGGAGUCGCAGAUUGAGUGGAGGAGAAGGGUUAUAACUGGUUCUGGUGCGGCGUGGGGCUGUAGUCGGUGGAGAAUAACAGGAGGUGUGGAGGGGUGGAGGGAUAGCCUGGCCGGCGGUGGGGUAGCGCUUCGCAGCGAUGCGUGCUAAGCAGAGCUGCUAGCCGCUGGAGGCCGGACCAGGCGGUCCCGGCGACGCUGGAGGAAGAAGAGGAGAGAUUGAAGGUGCAUGCCGACCAGGUUGACAACGCAGGGCGUAGGCUUCGACCUAUUGGCCCACAUGUCAGCCUGCAAAAAUGUGGCAUAUAUUUAACCCAUGUUUUGUAGAAUGUACAGUCCAUUUGCUGGGCUGGGUGAACAAAUAAUUUCGCGUCAAUGUGGCCCAUUUAUAUUAUCUAAGAAAUCCCAGCCCAUUUGCACUUCCUUCAAAUACACGAAUUAGCUGGGCUCGUUAUAUAUAUAAUGUUAUGCUAGAAGGAGCAAUAAAUAUCAAAAAUAAACCGGAGAGGCACAUUUUUUAUAUACAUAAUUAACAAAUUAGCGAGUUAUUGCUCAAAAUAAAAAUGAGCGCGUUAUUAUUACAUUGGUCCUCAAAAUCUUCGCAAGCUUUUGUACACAAUCACAAGGAUUUUCCUUGCCUAUGAGUCAAAAACAACCAGGAUUUUCCUUGCCAACUUCUGUUAAACAUUUACUUUUAUAAGUUAAUAACACGUGGGAUGUUUUCAUAAUGUAUAUAUAAGUCUUUAUAAAAUAUACGAUAAUAGUAAUAAUAUAAAUAUAUAUAAUGUGGUUAAAAAAAUACAUUGGGCUGCCGAUCUUUAAGAAAAAGCCCAUAGGCCGGUAUGGACCUCAAAAAAUAAGUUGAAACCACUGUCACCCGUAUGUCAUGGGCUACGCAUGUUAAAAUACAAAACCUAGGCCUAGCUGAUACUUGUUCGCCUCUAGAAAAAAAUGAUACCAGAUCCCCGAGCAAACUGGAUUAUAGAGGGGGCCGGCGGCACGACGGAAGAAGCACAUCAGGAGAGAUUUUUUUUCUUCAGUGGAUGGCUCUCGAUGGCGUUUUUUUUACUUGCCUAUGCACCAUACAACUUAUAUUUUUAGCCUCCCAGUCCGUGGUGGACCAGCAGACCAUUUGCUGGGCGGGCCAACCUACAUAAACCAGCACUCGAUUUUUCAUCAAGCCCCAAAAACAAUGCAGUACUAUGUUUGUUUUGAGGCCGAAAACAUUACGGCAGGGGUUGAGCGGGGGAGGGGGCAAGACAGAGCAAAAAGAUUUAAAAGAGCUGAUGCGUCGUUGCUACCCUAACAAAGCAGGUGCAAUUCUUCUCGGGAAGAAGGUGUGCCAUUGACACCCACACGUCACAUACCCCACAGUAGGCAUACUAACAAGUUCACACACAAGCACAACAGAAAAGGUAAACAUUCGUAUCAAACUCAGGUUCACAGGACACGUUCAUAUUCAUAGCCAACAUUCACUAUCAACAACUCAAAAGAUUCAUAUAUAAACAAGUUUAGCAUGUCUAUGGAUCCAAAUGAUUGAUAUAUCACACAACAAUAUUCAUAGAUAAUUCACAAAAAGAUUCAGAUAUACACAUGUUCAGUAUGUUUAUGCAUCCAAAUGAUUGAGAUCACAGCCAAUAUGAUCCAUGGACGAACUUUAAUUACCUAGGGUACAGACUGGUAAAUGAUGUUCAGUCGGAGGUACUUCUUGCUAAAAUUAAUGCUUCUACGAGUAAACUUUCGAGUACAUAAGAGGCAGCACAGACAAUCUGAACUUUCCUUGUAGGUUUAUCCUCAAAUAGUGGCCUCGUGCCGAUGGAGGUUUGAGCAACUUGGCCACUUCUUUCCUCCAACUAGUUUACUGGCUCAUCUUGGUCCUGUAUCUCGCCAAAAUUCUACAUUGCAGACGAGAGAGGAGGCAGUUGAGAAAAUGAACCACCCAAAUUUUUUGUGCAGUUCAACUGAAAUGGACCAUCCUUGGCGUGCAGACUGAUUAAGUGCCAGAUGAAUGUACGCGUCAACCAACUUGUCUGGAAUCUUUAGACUCCUUGCCAUAGAGUUCGCUACCAUAUGUGCAGAUAACCAAAAGGCACAAGUUAGGACCAAAGACUGGACUGCGUUUUUCUGGGCUAUGCGCCAAGCAAUAUUUUUGGCGUUCACUCUCCUAAUACUUGGAGUUUGAAAAUUGGUUGACGCCGGUUGAUACUCGAAUGAAUAUAGGCACUUCUUCUUGUCAACAUCGAUGCUUGUCUAAGUGAACUUUGGAGUACAUAGCAGCAGCAUAAGUACCUGUCCAUCUGAUCUUUUUGUGCAGUUCUACUAAAAUCACCCAAUGUAAUGAUUUGCCUGCGAGUUCAGGCUCCAAGUUACUCCUUUAUGAAAUCGGCAAACAGUAGCACACUACCAAAUUACCAAUACAUAUGAGAAGCACAAUAAUCAGGAUAAAGACCAGUACCAACCUGUGUGAGGUAGCAUAUCAAUUACUAUUUCCUUUGACUGGAAGCCGAGAUAAGCCAAGCGACUGACAGCAAAGGAAGAAUGCAAGCCGAGAUUAGUGACUAACAGGAAAGGAAGGAAGCUGUCGAGGCAAUGAAGCACCCAAAGUUUUUGUGCAGUUCCACCAAAAUCGAGCAUCCCUGUUGGCACAUAUAUUGAGAGAGUGAUAUUACUGUAAUAGUGGGACUAGUUGAUGAAACAUACACUAACAAAUAGAAGCACCCUCAUUAUCUUAAUGGGUAAAUUUAGCAUUCCCUCCCUGCUCCACCACAUGAUUCACCUCAUAGACAAACAUACACACGUACAUGAUUCAGCAUAGGGUGCUACUAAAGAUUUGUUUAACUCCGAUAGGAAAAUUAGGCAGCAAUAAAUUAGUGGUACUUAAGUACUCCUAAUUAAUUAAGUGAGAUAGCAGAAGCGGAAGGGCCCCCUGGAGGAUCGUCUCACAUGUAAGGUAGUCGUUGCCGGAGCCUUUUGAUGGCCUCGACUGAGGCCUCUGGCUUCAGCAAGAUCGCCUUGGCACUGUUUACUCUUCUUCUUCUUCCUCUUCAUGCUCUGUUUCUCAGUCUCCUCACCAGUUGGUGAAACCAAGUACAUGAUUGGCCUUCUAUUUCAGAAUUGGUUUUGUCAGUGAGGGAGUACAAGUGUACUAGUAAAAAAUAGCAUUAUUUUCUCAUGGCAAUCGCAAAAUACAGAUGAACACAUGCAUUAAAUAUCAUUCUUACCUAAAGGAAGGUUAUGGUGCCAAUAUGGAUGAUGAGGAUUGGAACACAGAUCUCCCUUUGUGCAGUUCCACCGAAAUGAACCAACUGUUCCAUUCUGACAUUCCAGUUAAACAACACAAAAGGCACUUCUUUUAAGAAGAGUUUUGUGCAGUGCACCAAAAGGUCACAACAGCAACCACGUGAAAUGGAUAUCCCUGUUUGCACGAAAAGCUACAGAGGAAACAGUCAGAGUCUCAAACAGUUACAGGCAAAAACAUUUGGCUAAACUUGUCAUGGCUUAUAACAGUGGCAUGGCUUCAUUUUUACCAGGGGCAUUAGAUUAAGAACAACUAAAUAUUUGGUAUAAGGGCAUGGGACAGUGGGUGCACCAGCAGUCCAGCACCAUGUACCUAAACAGGGGCAUAAAGUGGUGAUUCAUAGUUUGUUGCCCCGAGAAACAAACAUCCAAGAAACAUAUCUGGGUUCGUCCCAUUUUUGUUCACUCUAGCCACCUACUCCUAUGUGUGGAUAGCAAAUCUAGUCCUGGUCAUACCACUGUGUACAACGUUACCCCUAUAUUUCCCUUUUCGACCAAGAGACCGGUUGGAUGACCAGUCUGUACUACUUUCACCCCCUUUCCUUCCUGUUUGUACCAAGUCCGAUGUACUACAUACUAAAUUCCCCCACCCCCACUUUAUUUCUUUUUUUGAACCAAGUACAAGAUUCGACUCCACGAAGUAGCUUUACCUCUAACAAUAGAAGAAAAAAAUAGGUGACAUUCGACCAUUCGAUCGAGAGGGGCUGAGAGGUAGAAAAUGAUGCACAUGCAGCGACGUAGCGAGCUGGGGAAGUAGAGCUAAGGCGGUUUCGAAGGAAGAUAUACCCGAAGGUCGUCGGGAUGUGGAUAGGUGGGCGGCGGGAGGCCGGAUCCACCCACACUAGGGCAACAACGAAGGGACCGGAGGACCUCUCACGCCGGUUCUCAGCCAGAGAUAACGGUGCGGCCGGCACUGGGUCUCCUCCCUCGCUGUUGACGACGGCCUAAACGCUACCCCUCCUCCCCUUCACCGGCGGAGGGGGAUACGUCCGGAUCUGUAACCAGCGGUGAGGAUAGAAAGACAGUGUUUUUUGAAGGGAGAAAGACAGUGUUACCACCCUAUCUUGUUUAGAUCUGGAGAGGAUUAGAGUGUGUGAAUAGAGCAACCCUAGCAAGCAAGCGCGGAGGCUCCGGCCUAUAUAUACGUAGUGGGGUAGUUUUCCUUUUUCACUCCAUCAAAACAAUCGUUUAAAAUUGUGUACUACGUGCCAGGUCGCCGUUUUUUUAGUUGUUGAUUGUUUUUUGAGAUAGCUACCCGCUUGUUCCAAGUGGUGUUACGGUGUGCUAGGUCGCACUUUUUUUGAGGGUGCCAGGUCGCACUUUGUAUCGUUCAAGUCUGGUACAAGUCCCUCCAUUAAAUGAACAACCACCCCCUCGUAAAAAUUGUGAACAAGCCCACGGCUAAAAUUAUCGGAAACGUGGGUUGCCCCAACAUGCAUUAUUAUUUAUAUUUUCUACUCCCUCCGUUCCUAAAUAUAAGUCUUUUUUAUUAGCCACACCUAAGACAAGAUUUUUUUUAUUAGCAGUGAACCCCACAUGUCAUAGACACAAAAAGUGUGGCAAGAUUCCCUUAGGCAAGCCAAAGUGUGUCUAACAAUUUGAGCAACUCAAGUUAGGCAAGUGUGGCAAGUGUGGGAAAAUUAAUGUGGCAACAUAAGACAAACAUAGUCACAAUCCAAACAGCCCCGUAAUUUUUUGUGACAUGCAUGAAAAUUUUGGUUAGUUAAAUUUAUAGUCAAAAUUUGGGAAGGUACAUCAAAUCAACACAUGCAAGUAUCAAAAGGGAGGUCACGGCAUGCAUGCAUGCGUUGUACUCCCUCCGUUUCCAAAUAUAAGUCUUUUUAGAGAUUGCAACAAGUGACUACAUACGAAGCAAAAUAUGUCUACAUACAUCCGUAUGUAGUAGUCCAUUUGAAAUGUGUAAAAAGACUUAUAUCGAGUGCAGUGCUUUGAUGUGUCGCGUCAACUCGUACAAGACCGAGAAGUUUGAUUACUACAACGCCCCCUCCCUUGCGCAUGAGCGUGGUGGCUGGCAGGACUAGUAGGAGCUUUCGCUACACGCUUCUUGACAGGGGCGAACUUGCGGAUGGAGUUGGCCAUCAUGUCGUCCAUGCGAGAGCCGAAGCCGGCGUCAGCGAGGGCUACGAUGCUGGCGGUCGCGAGCACCGUCUGGAAACGCUGCGCGGUGCGGGGCCGCAGGCCGGCGCCUUGGAUGAUUUGGCACAGCCGACUGCCGCUCGCGACCAUCGCCUCCAUAGGUGCUUCUGGCUUCUGGUCACUUGGUCUUGGAUUGGAGUGAGCAGUGUUGCGCAGUGAUUGAGAAAAACAUUUAUUGUCAAUCUAACCCUGCCAUCCAUACACCUCUUUGGUUUAGAGUUAGUUCAGGGUUAGAAUCUAACUCUAACCUCUAACUGAGUUAGUAGAGUUCUCCUCGUCUCGUUUCAUCGCCAUCAUACUUUCCCCAUUUCUGUGUUUUUAGUAUCCUGCGAAUCAAAGAGGCCCUUAGACUGGUUUAGGUCCGGUAGUUUUUUAUAAACGUGUUAUGUCCAAAAUUUAAUGAACAUGCUUAGGUUUCUACGAAAAUAAUCUGGUUUCAUGUAGUAAUUCAUUUAUUUAUUUAUUGUUCUACGGGGGGUUUGCAUGUAAUUUGUGAGGUCUGAAAUGUAAAGUACCCCGGCAUAUGCUCCGAGUCGUGCAUGCACUACGACCCAGAUGCUCUAUGUCCCACAUGUCGGCGAAAGGGUGCACGUGGAAAUAGCCUAGGAGUACAUAUAGGAGGAUAAAUGCGUGAAAAAAUAUGUACGGUGAAGCGUAGCUGCGGUUCGAAAAGGAGACCUAAAGUGAUGACAGGUAUAGGUCGCACGCACCCAACUAGUGGUAGUACUAGACAUACGACUUCUUUUUCCCUAAAAAAAAGAGGUAUGAUUGCUCACUACUCCUAUUCUAUCAACGCGAGUCCCAUCUGACAAUAGCGUAUGUGCUACAACUAGCUCUUCUCCCUCGUUUCUCUCUUCUAAUUCUAAACUCAGCCGACGCUCGGUGGGCGGGGUGGGGAUUUGCCGAUGGUCGGUUUGCUCAACUGCGGCCCCACCUCACAGUGAAAACGUUACUACUAGAAUAAAAAUGCCAUAUACUCCUAUACUAAUAAAACAUUAAGGCCACGAGGCGAUGCAGUGCUAGUUACAGGAUGCAAGAAGAAGAGAUGCAUCCAUCGACGACGUCCACCUCCUCGACUUGGGGCGCCGGCCCACCGAACGGCGGCUAAGUAGCAGCGGCUUUCGUGGCCAGGUCGACGUGCUUCUGAACAAUGGCGUCCAAAGAUUCCAGCCGCUGGAAGAAGGCCAACGUCUUUCUGUCCUUGCUGGCCUUGUAGUGGCCUAUGUAGACGAUUUCCUCGUAGACGUGGAUGUGCAGGUCGACGGUUUCUUGCAUGGCGAGGCGCUGCGCGAAGAGCGCGGCCUCGAGGUGCACAUUCUUCAUCGCGACCUCCGGCAACUGCAGGGCCACCAGGGCUUGAAAGAGUUCGUCGCCAUGCAGGCCGAUGAGGGUGGCAGGAAAUGAGGAGCCUGGGCGCGCGGGCUGGAGCAGUACGGUAAGGUCGUCCGCGUGCUUCUUGACGAUGGCGAACUUGCGGAUGGAGUUGACCAUCAUGUCGUCCAUGCGAGAGGCGAAGCCGGCAUCGGCGAGGGCUACGAUGCCGGCGGUCGCCAGCACCGUCUGGAAAUGUUGCGCGGUGCAGGGCCGCAGGCCGGCGCCUUGGAUGAUUUGGCACAGCCGACUGCCGCUCGCGUCCAUCGCCUCCAUAGGUGCUUCUGACUUCUAGUCACUUGGUCUUGGAUUGGAGUGAGCAGUGUUGCGCAGAGACUAAGGAGUAGAUGGAUUGGAGUGGUGGGGCACCUUUAUAUGAGAAUCCAAACUCUGUUGCAUUCACAUCGUGCUGGCUCUAUUCUCCUUCUCCAAUUAAUUCCCUCUGCAUGUAGAGUAAUUUGAGGAUGCAUCAUUGACCGUUCAACAUCUCGGAAACCGCUAUGCUCUCCCUCCUUGGCAUUCAAGCACCUAUGGAGGCGACUGCCGCUCGCGUCUAUCGCGUGUCAAGAGACGUUCCUGUCGACGACGAGGUGCCUAUGGUGACUUCAUAAAUUUCAAGAUGAUAGUACUAGUAUACUCAAUAUUGUGCACCGCGACCAAGGCCGAGAGGAAAACGAGAGAACUACGUAUUUAUUUACAGUGUAGAUUCACUCAUUUUGCUCCAUAUGUACUCCGUCUCGGUGUAGUCUAGUCACUUGCUGAAAUCUCUAGAAAGGCAAAUACUUCUUUCUGGUUUACAGGGCUAUACUAGCAAGUACUUAAUACAAUAGUGGGCUCACAUAGCAAUUUUGUCUCAUGCAAGAGCCUGGCUAUAUGCGUGCUCCAAGGUUCGCAACUGCCACGUUCGGGUUGCACUUGGCUCUUCGCCUCUUCAAGAAGACGAACACUGAUGUUACUACUACUGCUUCUACAGUAUCGAAUCCACUGCUGCAUGUCCGUCCACCGCGAGCGGGAGGGAUAGCUUGUUGUAGUACUAUAUAAGCAAAAGCCUGUCCUCGUCUACGAGCCACCGCGCGCAUGGGCGAGGGAGAAGGCGUGUAGUAGUAAAACAAGCUUCUCCUCAUUGUACGAGUUGACGCGACACAUCAUAGCACUGGCUCCACAUGAUUGCCUCUAAACUUGGCUGAAAGACUCGCAGUGUACAAUACUCCAUUUGCUGCAACCUCUAACAUUUACCCCACCACAAAUUAAAAUAUAUAUUCCUGUCUUGACCAGAUGAGCGUGCAAACUAGAAUCACCAGGAUGACAGGUAGGGCCUGAAGAUAAUUUUAAUCAAAAAAAUAUAGCAUGGAGCCGACCGCAAAGAUUUUAAGCUUACAAGCACGGUACACGCUAUCCUAGACUACUCUACACAUGAAACUGCCACACGAGCGUCCGGGCUGCGCUUGGCUCUUCGCCUCUUCGGGAAGACGAACAAAAUGAUGGAGUACUACUGCAGUGGAGGAGUACUACAGUAUGCUUCUGGCCAUCUGACACCGAUUGAACUGCUGCAUGUCCACCGCGUACGGGAGGGAGAGCGUGUAGCGAACGAAAGCUUCUCCUAGUCCUGCCAGCCACCACGCUCAUGGGCGAGGGAGGGACGCAGCUUCAUUGACUUACUGCUCCUGCCUUUGCAUCCAUGACAGGUGGGCCCAACAGGUCGGUGGCCAACCUGUCAUGCAGCCAAAGGCAGGUGCGGUUAAGGCGAGAGGGUGUUGUAGUAAUCAAACUUCUCGGUCUUGUACGAGUUGAUGCGACACAUCAAAGCACUGCACUCGAUAUAUUUCAAUAAUUUGCGUUUACCGAUGCAUUAAUUACAACGCAUGCAUGCAUGUCGUGACUCUCCUUUUGAUACUUGCAUGUGUUGAUUUAAUGCACCUUGAAGUAGUACGAAUAUGUGACGGUAAAGCUUUGUAAUGCCCCGACCCUAAUAAAGCGAGAGAUGGUUGUGCACGAGGAGGGCGAGAUCAUGCACACGGAACAGGACCCGACGAUGGAGCUCUCUAUGGUCUCGAUGGACCUCACCUUGCUCCACUGCAACUUGUGCCUCCGCCCCUUGAAGCCUCCAGUGUAUGAGGUUCGAAUACACCUCGUCCGUUCGGCUGAUCGAGCAAGGUGCAGGUUUCUUGAUUGAUGUGUUGUUCGAUUGAUUUGUGCAGUGCAAGGGAGGGCACCUGGCUUGCGCGGACUUCCGUGUCGAGCGCCCCGGGAACCAGCGACAGUGCCAGAAGUGCGAGCGCGGCGGUGGCUUCGACGUGCGGAACACGGCAGUGGACGCCAUCCUCUCCUCAGUGAGGGUGGAGUGCCCGCACGAAGGCUGUGGGCUCUACGUCACUUACCACAAGCUCGCCGAUCACCAGAGCGUGUGUCCGCUCGCGUCCUGCAAAUGCCCCGUGCCCGUCUGCGGCUACGAAGGCCCGCCGCUGUGGCUCUCCCACCACAUCAGCACCGUGCAUCCCAUGCCCGUGCACAGGAUCCAGUACGGCAAGGCGCUCCAGCUGCAAGUGCCACUGUCGGAGCCACGGCUCUUGCUGUUCGCGGAGGAGGACGGCCGCGCAUUUUUCUUGGUCGGCGGCGUGCUCGACAUCAGCGCGCCUAUCACCGUGUCGGUCGUCUACAUCAGAGCGGGGGCGUCCCCGCUGCCGCACUACGUGGCCAAGCUAUGGGCGAACGGCCCGCCGGGGGAGCCCAAAGGCAGGACCGACGCCGUCAAGGUGGAAAUGGAGGUGACAAGCAGCAGGGAUCCCAGCGACGUCGCCGUGCAGGAGCCGACCUUCUUCACAGUUAGGCCCAAGCUGCUGGCCGGGGCUAAGCUGGUGUCCCUCCACAUUCAGAUUGACAAGCUCACGUCCUAAAUGAUUCUACAGUGCCUUCUGUUUAUCUUAGUAAUAUGCUAAUAUAGGGGUUAGCUCGGUCUACUUUAGCUUAAGAGAUGGUGGGUUUUGGUGGCGAUGCAGCAAUUACCUCGACAUCACAUCAGCAGUGAAAGUAAUUUCGAACAGUCGAAUGGAUAUUUUGUGUCUGUUGGAUAUAAAGAUCCUUUGGGUAAGAAGUAACAGCUUAUAUGCUUUUUUUUAAACGGAACAGCGAUACUAGUAUAAUUUUUGUUGACAUGCACUAAUAUUUUCGAAACGGACGUCGGGCUGUAGCUAGAAGGGCGGUUGGGACGCGGCAUCGGCCCAUACCGCGGUGACCCCUGAUUGGGAUGCACCGACUGUGGAUUUUCUCCCUCGCCGAUGUCGACCGCGUCUACGCAGAACAUUGUUCCCUUCCCCCAGCUGCGGGAUCAGGCCGGAUAUGUGACCAGCGGUGUGGCCACCAUCGUUCUAUGCUUGUGAAGAGAGCAACCCAAGCAAGCAAGCUUGUAGCUUAGGCUCCUGCUAGUGUAUAUAUAGUGGUUUUCUUUUUCUCUCCAUAUCAACCAAUUUAUAUUGUGUACGUGUCAUUGAAGAGUGAAAUGAUGGUUGCUUCUUCCGACUAACUUACUGUGUGAUUUGACUGCUCCUUUAGUGGCCCCUACACGUACUCCCCCUACGUGUAUGCAACAGUCACAUGUACACAUGGACGCAAAAACGCGCGUGACGCCCUAAUGCAUGCAUGUCCGAGCACACGACGGAACACACACGGUCAUGCUCAAGUGCUCAACCUACACGUGCAUGCACACACAUACUCAGCCAGGGUGAGCUAGUGACCGUAUAAACACCGGAAAAUGUAUAUAUUGAGCGCAAUGAGCGUAUUAUGAAGUCCACUGACCGUAUGUUUACAAAUAUACAAUGACAGACAGUGUAUUUAUCUCGUUUGAAAUUAAGCCAUAUUAACCGGAGAGGAGGCAGUAUGGACUAGCAUUACUUUGAUGUGUCCCGUCAACUUGCCGAACGAGGAGAAGCUUGCGCGCGGUGGCUCGCAGGACAAGGAGAAACUUUUGACUAAUGCAAGCUGUCCUUCGCUCAGGCGGUGGACGUGCAACAGUUAAUUCGGUGUCAGAUUGCCAGAAGCACACACUAUACUAGUAGUACUAUUAUUGUUGCACUUCCCGAAGAGGCGAACAGCCAAGCGCAAAGUUUACUAGUACUACUGCUAUAGUCUAUAGAGGUACUACUAUACUAGUACUAGGAACCGGAUGGAGGAGCGUCUGCACUCUUAUUAUACUUUUUAAAUGUGAUAAAGCAAUCUUCAACACAUUUGGUUCUCUUCAAGGGUUCUCGCAUGUGAUAAUGGAAGUUGAUUGCAUGGAACACUCGCCACAAUUCUCGCUUAAUUCUGGCUCAUAUCCUGUUACAAAUAGGAGCGCUCGGUAAUAUUUCCUCUCUUUUUUGUUAUUCAGCAUGUAAAUAGGUUAGCAAACCUUGCGCCGCAUCUUUGUGCGAACCGUGCUUGCUGCACUUUGAAUGUGGCCGAGAGCUGGCUUGAUGAAACACCUCGCUUCCUACUUCUUUUUUUGCGGGGUACCUCGCUUCCUAGUGACCAGUGUCUUGGCUGAUCGUCCUAAGAAUGCUUAUAUAUGAAUAAAGCUCUCUCAUUUACCCGCAAAAAAGAUUAAGCCAUAUUAACCAGAAAGGAGGGAGUAUGGACUAGCACUACUUGUUUGUGUGUCCCGUCAACUCGCAGAACAAGGAGAAGCUUGCAGGACAUGGUGAAGCUCGCUUAUGCCUUUUUACUAAUGCAAUGUACCCUCGCCCAGGUGGUGGACAUGCAUCAGUUCAUUCGGUGUCAGAUUGCCAGAGGCAUACACUAUAGUACCGAACAUGCGGAGUACCAUCAUUGUUCGACUUCACGAAGAGGCGAAGAGCCAAGCGCAAGGUUUAGUAGUACGAGUAGUACUACUACUAGAACCGCAUGGUGGAGCCUCUGUACUCUUAUUUUUCUUAAUCUUUGAUAAAGUACACAUUUAUUCCGGAGAAGGGCGGAAAACGCCAGCCCAACAUGUAAUGGUGAUAUCAAUCAACCAUGCUCGAAUAUAUCUUGGCCUCCGUGCGAGCCCGUCUGUGUGUUCUUGCUCCUUGUCUCUCUCAAGGAACGGCGGGUUGGCCAUUUUGCCGUCAAUUGAGAUCGGUUUGCUCACACUCCGGUCCCACAUGUCAGUGAUAUGCCAAGAGGAGGUGCGUUGACCGACUGGCCAUACGCGUAGUUGGUUUUGCACCUUCAUACUACUCCUCCCUCCGUCACAGUUUACAGGGCGCGCUUCAUUAUGAUGCAUUUCUCUCAAUGCAUUUCCACCACCAGAGAGACUUUAGACGCGUUUGGUUUAAUGCUCAAUUAAUUAGGGUGUGGUAACCGCAAUUCUCUCUCGAUGUAGUACUACGGAGUGGAGUAGGUGCAUGCAUGUGUCUACCCGGGGUGGAAGCACUGCAUGCAUGUGUGUACGCAUUAUUUCCUCUAGUAAUAGACGCCGUGCUAUAACUACCAAUGCUAUUUUUCAGGCCGAUCGCUAGUCGCCUUGGUCCCAGAGAUUUUCUCUUUUUCUGAAGCGCGCUCUAUAAACAGUGACAGACGGAGUAGUAUGAGCGAAUUCAUAGAAGAGCGUAUUGAUGCUUGCUUCUUCCGAGCAACUUACAGUGGGAAAGGUGGGGCUUAUGAUUUGACUGCUCAUUACUCACUAUUAAUGCGGCGCAACGACCGGUCUGAGUCUCCCAUGCGACUGUGCACUACCCCCUCGGUUCUUAAAUAUACUCCGGAGUAUUUGUCUUUCUAGAGAUUUCAACGAGUGACUACUCAAAUAUUUGUCUUUUUAGAGAUUCAAAUGGACUACUACAUACGGAUGUAUAUAGACAUAUUUUAGAGUGUAGAUUCACUCAUUUUGCUCCGUAUGUAGUCACUUGUUAAAUCUCUAGAAAGACAAAUAUUUAGGAACGGAGGGAGUACACAUACGAAGCAAAAUGAGUGAAUCUACACUCUAAAAUAUGCCCAUUUGAAAUUUGUAAAAAGACAAAUAUUGUUGAUGACAGUUGCAACGACAAAAAAGAAGCAUAUUCCUUGUCCUAAGGGAAGAUAACAACACGGUUGUGUUUGUCUAAAACGGUGUGAGGACGAGAUUGCAAUAUGGAAAGUACGCCAGACGAGCUAUGUUUUGAGCAAAGAACUAUGGAAGAUCCACAUGCAGCGACGUGGGAAGACGGGCAAUGGAGCAAGGCCGGAGGGGAUACCUGGAGGUCAUGGGGAUGUAACUAGGUGAGCGGCGGCGGGCGGAAUCUGCCCAUACUGCGGCAGCGAGCAGGUGGCGUAGGCCCUACCGCGCCGGAGCUUGGUUAGAGAGAACGGCGUGUACCGCAGAUCGGGACGUGCUGCCUCGGCGCCGUCGAACGGAGAAACGAUGCACGUCCUCCCUUUCUGCCGCGGACGUGAUGCGGCCGGAUCAGUGACCAACGGUGUGAGAGAGAGAGAGAGAGAGAGAGGCCACCGCAGCCUUGUGUGAGAUACUCUGAAGAGAGACAAACCAGGCAGGGAGGCUCCAUUGUAUAUAGUGGAGCGGACUACCUUUUUCUCCAUAAAAAUCAGUUUAUAUUCUAUGUACGUGCCAUUGAGCGAUAUAACUUUAUUUAAAAAUAACGCGUCAAUGCAUCAAGUCGAACUUUGUUUCGUGCACGCGUGGUACACGACCUCCGUAGGUAAACAACCGCUACACGCGUUCAAAUUAGCACGUGGGCUGCCAUUUCGUACAGAAAUGAGCUCCACCGUGUACCCGCGCGGGUGUGACUGGGCACGAAGUGUGAGUACGUGCACGGUGCACCUAUUCUCUUCUUGUAUACGUACACCACCUAUGUGGGGUUGUGUGAGAGAGAUACAAACGUAGAGAGAUAUAGUGUGUGGGUUCGUGAGAGUUUUUUUUAGGGGGGUCAAUCAAAAAUGUAACAUAUGCAAUGUGUGUGAAAUAGAGUCCUGGAUAUAUCAUAUAUAUAGAGGGGGCGAUCCACGAGAAGAGAGUGGAGGUAUCAUCGACUUGAGGUGUCCAUAGAAUCGAAGAGAGGGAUGAUGUGUGUGUGUGCGCGCGCGGUCGAUAAAGAGUGCCAUCGAAUUUAUGUGUGCCCACGUCAAAGAUAUAGAGUGGCUGGCCUACUAGAACGAGAGAGGGGACAGGUGUGGUUUGUCUCUAUGACAUGGAUACCUACCUACAGCGGUCGACUAUCGGUGUGUGGUGGGGUGGGGGAGGGAGGCCUAAUUAACUAUAGAGGUACAAUGGCUGGUAUAUGUGUGGAGGAGGAGAGAGGCCUACCUCAUGUAUUAAGGGAGAUUGAUCUACCUCAUGUAUUAAGGGAGAUCGAUCGGCAUCCAUGCAUAUGUGUAGGAGAGGAAUAAGGUUGGGAGAGAGACACAGCUAGAGUGUUGGAGGGGGUGGUAGUGGAGUUGCUUCUAACAAAUGGUGGGAUAGGCUUGCUAGACAACCGGAGGGCACGGCUGCAAUAUCAAUAAGAGAGGGGAUGGCUGCCUGUCUGUGCACGUGCGUGUGAGAGAUGGGUCAGGAGGCAUGCACGAAUGAUGAGGGGGGCGAUAUGGAUGUGGCAAGCAGACAUAACUACAUAUAGGAAGAUCAAUCGUCCUUUGUCAGAGAAAGGAGAGACAUAACUUGUGAGGUACGUCGAUCAAUGGGGGGGAAUAGUUAAAGUCGACCUAGGUAUAUGUUGGGAGAUCGAUCGGUAUACAUGCAUGUGUGUGUUAGAAGCAAAUGAGGCACGGGGAGAAGGAUAGAGAGAGAGAGGGAUGCAUCUAGGAGGUGGUGCGAGAGUCAUACUAUAUCGAGGGGGAAUUGUGCGAGUACGAGAUCGAUGAAAAGAGUGGUGGGAGUGAGGCAUGGACGGUGAUAAGAGAAGAGGGGAAGCUUGUGUUUUGUGCUAGGCACACCUGGCUAGAGAGGCAUAUGGAUCGAUGUGUGCCGUAAAGAAGGAGCUGGGGGGGCCUACACACACACCGUGGGUGAACGACCUAAAGUGAAAAGACGAAUUUGCGCGAUGGAGCUAGAGAAUGCUGAGGGAGGGUUAGAGGGACGCGGGCGUCUGCAUGCACGAGAGAAAGUUAGCGCUAGCUAGCUACAAAGAUAAGAGGAUUGUGUGGGUGUAAAAGACGAAUACAGAUCAUACUUCAUUAUAAAAAGCGAAUUCGUAUAUUUGAAGAAUUUAUCAUAGUGUUUUAAACCGACGCAUGUGUGAAUAUAUAUAUAACGGUGAUACACAUGGUGUGGUUAUGAACAUGUUAUACUACAUAUAAUAUAUUUUAUCUCUACUCUUAUAAAAAGACGGAGUUGUUGAUGAUGGUGCCAUCCCUGCAAUAUAUGUCGUCCGAUUUAUAUCUGACGGAUAGGAAGGAAACUAUGGCAAUUUUGAAAAAAGAUACCCACACCCCUCUCCAUAUUUGCAAAUUAGGCCUCCCCUUGAUCAUGUUGAUGUUCUGUGGAAUGCAUGGGCAUCUUGCUAGUACUACGUAUAACAUAUAGAACAUCGAUCAUAAUUUGGGCUAAUGUGUGGCUUUUGCAGCUGAGGUCUAAAUACUUGUCAUAAUGUAGGGGGCGGGGCACUAUACUAUGUGUGAUAAACACGGUGUACACGUACGGAACAUGGUUUAGAUUAUGAAUAUAUAGUUAGUACAUCGAAUGUACUAUUAUUUGGAAUCAACAUCAAGUGUAUUCAAAAAAUAGAAUUCGAGUUCAUGUAGUACACAUAGUUCAUAUCCAUCUCUAUAGUAAUCAUGUGGUGUGUUAUUAAGGUAAUACACGAAUGAUGGUUGAAGUUGGCAACAAUCAUGAUUGUAGAUUUGUUAUUGAAAUAGAGAAACGAAUUCAAAUUCAAUUUGAAUUGCAGCGGUAGUAUAGACAUUUGGAAUGCACUAAAAUGUUGGUAUGAGUAGGUUACAUGCAUUAUACAGCAAGCGAAAAAAUUCAAUUGGACAUAACAUGGAUUCAUACUACCAAAUAGAAUUUAAUUGCACUAAAUUGUUGGUAUGAGUAUCUUUAAAUAGCAUUUUUAUAGUAAAACGGGGCAAGACUCUCUCUUUGUAUGGUGUGAAUAGUUUUAUUUUUUUCGUUUUCUUUUUGGUUGAGGGAAGUGCGAAUUGAUUUGGUACUACGUACAAGUACAAUAUUACACGUUAGGCUUGUCCCUAAAUUAAACCCGCGCCUUGUUAUAUCCUGAAAAUUCAGAUAUCGUGCUCCCAAAACUGGCGCCUUCACAACCCGCGCCUUGCUAUCCCGAAAUUACAACGCGCGCGAAAACUCCCUCCAGCUGCCAAAUCCCGACACGCGAAAUCCCCCUUCUAACCCUGAGCCGAAAGGGCCGCUAGUUCAAAUCGGUGCGGGGUACUUUUGUAACACACCAUUCAUUUUGGACAAGCGCGUCCCUAAGUCAUGGUUCACCCCCUCCCAUCGCCUCCUUUUUGCCAUUCGAAAUCCCAGGCUGCCAUAACCUCUCCGCUCCAGCCGCGAAACCCCACUCUCCUCCGUCCGCCACCUCACCGCUGCCCAACCGGAGCCUCUUCCCCGACAACGUCGUCCACCGCAACAGCUCGACGCCCCUCGUCCACCUCCCCGGAUGAGGAUUCGUCAUCCAUCUCGUCGUCCCGUCGGUUCAGCCGCCCCGUCCUCCACCUCCAAGGAGCUGCUCUGACGACCGCCUCGUCUAUCGCGGCUGCUCCAUCCCCACAGCGCCGCCUUAACCUGCUCCACCGGAACCGCAUCAUCCUCACCGACUCCUCGGACGAAGCCGAGGCCUACUCGGCGCCACCAAAGAGGUUGUACACUCAUUGCAUCGCACCUUCUCCUUAGCUCGACCUCCCGGCGCCGACGGUGAUCCAUCCCGCACCCCCAUGGAGCGGCUACCUUGAAGCCGGUGCCACGGGCGACAUCUCCAUGGCGGCUCUCCCCAGUGCGAGGCCCCUUCGGCGGCGGCGUCCAUACCAGCCGGAGCUGCUGCUGCUCCGGCUCUCGCUCGCUCGCGCUGCUGCUGCUCCGGCUCUCGCUCGAUCGCUCGCUCGCCCAGCUGCUGCUACUCCGGCUCUCGCUCGCUCGCGCUGCUGCUGCUGCUCUCUCCCUCGCUCAUGCUGCUGCUCUGCUCCGAUUUAGCUACACCUCAAUCGACUGAAUCAACUUUUGGGUCAGUCGAUUUUCAGGGGGUGGGGGGCUCGUCGGAGUUAAGGAAGAACCACCUGCGGUAGGGACGGGGGCUCGCCGAAGAGGUACCCCACUAUCUAUCUUAGGGUUCAGGGUGGGGGCCGGGGCGGCGGCGGACCAGCGGUGGGGAGUUGUUUCGGGGUGGCGAGGCGGCACUGGGGCCGGCGGUUCGGCCGGUGGUGGCUGGCGGCUCAGGGGGGUGCAGGUUGAAGAUGAACUGCAGGCCCUCCCUAAACUACAUGUCAAGUGCCUCUCUACUACAUUGCAUUCAGUUUCGACAGUAACAUUCAGAUUCCACAGUAAUUUUCAGUUUCGACAGUUAAGUUCAGAGUCAACAGUUUUUACCUCAUCUGUUGUAGUCAGGUGGUUUUUGGUGAUGUAAAUUUUACAUCUAUUUUACAUCAUCUAUUGGAGAUGCUACUAGAAUCCCACUUGAGAUUGACGAUGUCUGUCUUGUGCUGCUUCAGCCUUGACGUCUUACGGCUCACCGGGGCUGCUCCAACGACAGAACGAUCCAUCACAACAGAGCAGUGCCCUGGACGCCGUCUACAGAUUCCUCAGAUCUUCCUCCACACCUCUGACAGCCACCUCUGCCUCAACUGCUUCAGCGACCAACCCAAUGAUGCUGAGGUCGACACGGCUACAGCAAAGACGUUGUACACUUGUUGCAUCACUUAUUACUAUACGUUCAUGUCGAUCCAUUAGGGCUAUUUUGGUUCGACGGAAAAACAUAGCAAUAGGGAAUUUUCCAAUGGCACUCUACUAUUCAAUUAUUCAUGCAUUUUGUUGAAAGGAAUGAAGCAAAACAUCCACCUGGACCUACUUUUAAAAAUCCUAUGGAUGAAAACAAGACCAAGUGCAUUAGUGGCAGAAUAACAUUCUAACUGUACACGCUUUCAUAUGGUUUCACUUUAUUUUGGCCAUGUUUCUUUGCAUUCCUCUACUCUUCCAAUUCCUGUAAACCAAACACCCAAGUUGACAGAAAUCCUGUGUUUACAAAUGCUCUGUUUACCAUGUGCAUUCCUAUCCUAUUCCGGUGUUUUUCCUAUCCCUGCAUUUUCAGAAUCAUGCAAGCCAAAUGAGCCCUUACAUAAUUACUUCAGUUACAGGUAGGUGUCGAAGGGAACUUUGUGUGGUUUGUCCUGCUCCUGCCGCGACGUCGUCCACCUCACCUGAGGUGCUCCAUCGACAGAAACAUCCACCAAACCAGACAUCACGACUCUUGACCAUCUUUCACCGCCUCAGAUCUCCUUCCCUGCCGCCGGCACCCACCACAACGGCAUCACCAUCAUGGACUCAGCAGAUGAAUCUGAGGAGUACACGGGUCCACAAGAGAGGUCGCACUCUUUUGAUUCUGCUUAUGUUAUGCAUUGCUUAAAAUUACCUGCUACUUUAUCGUCCUGUUCACCUCUUGGACUCCAAGUCAGGUCCAAAUUAAUGUUCAAACUUGAGUUCUAAAUUAGUUGUGGGGCACAUAUCGAGGAAGCAAUGAAUAGUAUCUUUGUCUAAUAUCUGGUUCACCUAGGGUAUUCCUAUGUUGUUCAUCUUGGGUGGGAAACAAAUAGUAAAGCAAUCAUCAUCUGUCUUUUUAUUAAAUUAAAGCAAUCAUCAACCUGCUAUCAUUAUUUUUGGAUCCAUCCACUGGUUGUGACCAUCACUCUAAAUUUCUGCAUGCUCUCCUUACAUAAUCUCACCAUUUUUUUUCAUAUGCAUGUCAGAUAUUGUACACAGUCAUGCUGAACAUGUAGAGAAAAAGAGAAGAGUUUUGCGCGGCAGUACAAUGUCAUGCAGACAUCACUCCAUGGUGGGUUCAAUGGCAAACCCUCCCCACCCCUCUCCAGAUUGUAAUCCAGAGGAAGAUAUUUGUUCUGAGGCGGAUUCAGACACCGCUGACCACUCCUAUUUACCCCCCAAGGUGUUUGCUCUACCUUGGCAUGAUGAUGUUAGUCAUAUCAUGCAUAUGUUGCCUUGCAGUGCCUACUUUUGAAAUCAUAUAUGUCAUCUGCUUAGUUUAAACAUGUUCUGUAAUGCCACCUGUUUAGUUUCUAUAUCAUAUAUGGGAAUUGUGCAGUCUCAUGUCUUUUAGCCGGCCAUAAUAUACGUGAAAUGUGCAAUGCCAUCCUGUUUAACCAGGCAUCAUAUAUUUGAAUGAUAUCUUGCCCAUCCUUUUCUUCAUUACAUUUCCAUUUGUCGACAAUGUUUGUACAUUAAACUACUCUUCCUGUGAAUCAGCCAUUUGGGUGGGAGAUUGAAAAAUCUGGAGUGAAAACAAGGACUUCAGAGCAGACAGUGCUACCUGUCGAAGCAGAUCUCUUGUUGGGUCCCGAUAGCUCCUCAGAGAUGGAUUCAGAGACAGAUGACCAGUCCUAUUUCCCCACCGAGGUGUAUGCUCUAACUUGGCACGGUUAUACUGCUCAUAUCAUGCAUAUGGUGUCUUGCAUUGCAUAGAUUAGACAUCAUAUACACAAUAUUCAACACCAUGUUCUUAGUUCAGACAUCAUAUCUAAUGCCCUCUGUUUAGCAUAUAAAUCACAUAUGUGAAUUAAAUGAUGCGAUCCCGAUUACUUAGAUAACAUGUAGGUGAAUUAUGUCAUGUGAUCCUGUUUAGUUAUUCAUCAUAUCUUUGAAUUAUGUUAUGCUAUGCUAUCCAGUUUAGAUAGACAUCAUAUAUGUGAAAUUAUGGCAUGCUAUCCGUUUUAGUUAAACAAUAUACAUGUCAACUAUUUCAUGCCCUCUUUUUUCCACACUAUCUAUUGCAUCUGUCUCUCAUACAAUGUCUGUACAUUCAACUAUGUUUCCUGUUUAUCAGCCAUUUGAAUUGGAGCGGGUGAUGCCAGCAUCUAGUAGACUAAAAACACGGUCUUCAAAUAAAACAAUGCUACCUCUUGGUGGAGAUAGCACCCCAGUUGUACAUGCACGAGAACCAGCCUUACCACACAUAACCCAAACUCUCGCAGAUUGUACCCCUACUGCGAUGGACAGAGAACCAGCUUCACCCAAUCUAACCCCAACCCCAGCAAAUAGUAACCCAGUUCCUAUUGACACAGCACCAUCUCCACCACAGAGCUCCCAAACAAGAGCAGUUAGUAAGGCAGCUCCAGUGCUCAAAGGGCCAGUACUACCACGGCGAACCCCAACUCCACCAGUUAGUACGCCUAUUCCUGUGGAGGAAGCACAACCAGCUAGUCGUAGUUUAGCAUCUAUCCCAUUUGAUGUUGUUAAAUCAUAUGUGUGUAUCUUCCCAUCUUGAAAAUAUUAUACUGAAGAUGAAGGAAAAUGCCAGUUGCAGGUGUUUGUCCAGGAGUUAUGUGUAAGUAAUGUUAUUCAUGGCAAUUACUUUGCUUUGUCCCAUACAUCCUACCUCCAUGAUGGUUAUAAUACAGCAAAUUUUCCCAUUUUUCUCCAUAGAGAAGGACCGAUUUGGAAACUCAGGAUGAGGUAACCUCUGCUAAUACCUCUGCUAUCUUCAAGAAUUCUUGGUGGCAUUAUCGGAAUUACCUGAAGAAAACGCACUUCACCGGCAAAGAAACUCAUCAAAUUCCCUUACGUUCUCCUGAGACACAUUUACUGGACAAUGACUGGGAACGCCUUGUUCUGUACUGGUCCCGAACCAAGAAUGUGGUAAGGUCUAUAAGCUCAUUUUCUAUUUUUAAGUACUAUAUUCUUGCGUCUUACUGUACUCUGUUCAUGUAGAACAAGUGCCUAAACCUGAAGAACAACUGUUCUAAUUUAAGAUUCCAUUGCUAUCAUAGUUUAAAAAAGCGCUAGGCGUUAAUUGUGCGUCUUGCCACCGCCUUGCGCUUUACUGACCAAAGUGCAUGCUUAUGCGCAGUUAUGCACAGAUUAAGCGUAGUUAUGCGCAAUGCGUUUCGCCAACGCCUAGAGCCUAGGCGCGCUUACGCGCUCGCUUAGGCGCGCCUUUUUUAACUAUGAUUGCUAUUGUGCAUACUGCUUUGCUCUUGUAUCACUGUAUUUACUCAUACAAACUUAUUUUUAAAUUAAAGGAUCCAAUCGAAACUGCAAUGGCACAGCAGGUAUGUUCACGCAUGUUUCUUUAACAGGCUUGCUCUUAUCAAUAGCUCUGUUGAUUUCAAUUUCAAUUGUGUAUACAGUUGACUUCUCAUAUCAUGCACAUUACUAGCAUCACAACAGAGCCAAUAGUGUUGUUGUACAUGUAGACCCGUGGUACCCAUCUGAAAUCUUGUUGUGCCGUGUAGUUUCCCAUGCUUUGUAUUCUUUCACGGCUGCUUUGUCUUGAACUGAUAUGAUUUGAACCGUGUCUCUUUUUUGAUUUGGCAAGAAAAUCCAGUGACCAUAGGACAUAGAUAUACGUUUGUUUGAUGCUUUUAUUAUGUACUAGUACUUGGCAAUAGAAGACUUGGUAGUUUAAUCCUGUCCACCUUACUAAUGAACUGGUUCACCGAAAUGAGUUUCAUAUACUAGUACAUGCUAAAAUGUUAUGUGUCUGCUUGUUUCUUCUUUUAGAAUGCUGACAGAAUAUUGGGGAAGAGUGCCUUAUUAAGCAAUGGUAAAGGAAGUAAUGCAGAUAAGGUUCAGGAUAGUGACACAUCCUUGUUAGUCUCCAACAAAGCUGAUAAAACAGCUAAGGGAGACUAUCUCGAAGACAGUGAGACAACCCCAAAGUCAUGUCUUGGUUUAGUGUUGGAGUUACUGGCCACUACCACUUGCACAAGCUACUCAAACUCACUGUCUGAAUCAGUUCGGUUUCUUGAGUCUCAACUACAAGCUAAAAGACAUUGAUCAGCUGUGCUGCGACAAGAGGCGGAAGGACUGCGGAAGUCCCUGGAGCAUUCAGAUGCAUACUUUCUGGUGCAACAGCAAGCGUUGGAGGAUUUUAGCGCCAAACAGGACAAAGCUAAUAAGCUUGCUAAGCUUAUUGCCAGUAUGGUGGAUACCACAUUUCUUGAGCUCUUAUGAAGUGGUUUCAGUUAUGCUCUUGUUUUGCUGCUGCGUUUAUUUGCACUGGUGGCCAAUUUUGAUGGCCAGUGUAUGUAAUAUGCUGCUUUGUUCCCUAUAUUUGCACUGGUGGCGAACUUUGAUGCCCAGUGGAUGUAAUAUGUGUAAUAGCGGUAAUAGGCUAGCGUUAAUUGCUUGCUUAUUUAUUUCCUUAUUGUCUUCUUUAGUUGUUUGCUUGUAGUCACUGUUCUGUGUUUUUCUAGUGGCCACAAUAACCUAUUUUUGGAAACUAGGCCAAAAUAAUCAUGGCAACACACGGAUUGUUGUUACCAUGGGCCUCCUACGGGCCAUAUGAUCCAUGGGCCUUCUACGGGCCGUAGGAUCCAUUGGCCUUCUAUACGGGCCGUAGGAUCCAUGGGCCUUCUAUGGGCCGUACGGUCCAUGGGCCUUUUACGGGUCGUAGGAUCCAUGGGCCUUCUAUGGGGCGUAUCGUCAUUUCGCCAAUCAUGGGCCGUACUAUUCGUGGACAAUAACGGGCCGUGUAUAGGCCGUAUUUGAUAACUCUAUGAAAACAGCCCAACGGGUUUUUUUUGACAUGAAAACGGCCCAGCGUAUUAACGGGCCACAAACGGGCCGACUGUAACCACGGGCUGAAUUUGGCCCACAAGCAGAAAAUGACAGUAACGAGCCGUAAGUAACCGAAUGUUGGAAAUGAGCCCAAGAAUAAAUGGGCCCAGAGAAGGCCGAAAGAUAUCAUGGGCUGGAAACGGCCCAAGGGAAUAAUGGGUCGUUAAUGGGUAUAAAGUGAUACACUAUUCAUUACGGGCCAAUUUUACCACGGGCCGUUAAGGGGCCGAGGGUUACUAAGGGCCUCAUAUGGGCCGAAAGACGUCAUGGGCCAUACAUGGGCCGGAAGUUAAAAUGGGCUGGAAUUAUAUUGGACGGCCCAGAUGACGCUAUUGGGUCUAAUUCGGAUAGGCCGUAAACGGGCCCUGGGAUAGCGGGCUGUAAAUGGGCUAUAUGCGUACAGGCCGUUAACAGGCUUGCCGUGGGCCGGCCCGCCACCUUUUGACCAAGUCAAACGGGCCGGCCUUUUCACACGAAUGGGCCUCUGUUGGUCCGUGCCACGUGCCGACGUAUCAUAGGGGCUUUGGGUCCAAUGAGUGGAUGACAUAUGUCCCAACGGUGAGCCAACACGUGUUUCCUCCAGCCAAUGAUGAUUUUACACGUGGAAAAUCCCCAUUGGUCGGGGCUGUUAAACGGGUUAUUGGAUCCAAAACCGGACCCGAUAGCUUAACAAUGUUCCGUUACGGUGGAUGCCACGUGUCGGUCACCCUUGACGAAAGCACUUCUGUGACGCGCGAUUUAUCGUCAUGGAAGUGGACACUUCCAUGAUAAUUUUGGUAAUGUCAUGGAACACUUCUACGACAGCACAGUAUGACUAUCUUGAUUCUGUCAUAAAUUUUUCAUGGAUGUACAUGCAUGACAGAAAACAUGACCUACUGUGACAAACACGUAUCAUCACGGAAGUGUUUUUUUUGUAGUGAAACUUCAAAUGAUAUAAGUGAAGCACAUGAAGCAUUCUAUAAAGCCAUACUCAAAAGAUAUAAGGGAAGUGCAAAGAGCAUUCGAUAAAUCAACCAAGGACUAUCUCAUACCAGCAUGGUGCAUUAUUAAAUGAAAAAUAAAAAGCACACGAAAUUCCAAGAUUUACGCAUAUCAUGUGACAAAUAAAAAUAUAGCUCCAAGUAAAAUUACCGAUGAUCGUUACAAGAAAGAGGGGAUGCCUUCCAUGGCAUCCCCAAGCUUAGUUGCUUGGAAGUCCUUGAAUAUUACCUUGGGGUGCCUCGGUUAUCCCCAAGCUUAGGCUCUUUCCACUCCUUAUUCCUUCAUCCAUCGUGAUCUUACCCAAAACUUGAAAACUUCAAUCACACAAAACUUAACAAAACCCUCGUGAGAUCCGUUAGUAUAAUAAAACAAAUCACCACUUUAAGUACUAUUGCAAACUCAUUCAUAUUUUAUUUUGCAUUAUAUCUACUGUAAUAUAAAUUUUCCAUGGCUUAUACCACCGAUACAAUCGAUAGUUUCAUCAAAACAAGCAAAACAAUGCAUCAAACGGAAUCUGUCUUAAAUAGGACAGCAUGUAGUAAUCUGAACACCAACCAUACUUAUGUAACUCCAAAAAUUCUGAAAAAUUAGGACACAAUAAAAAAUUUGUAUAUAAGUAUUUUGCAAAAAGUUUCAGAAGCUUUUGACAUUCUGGUAAAAAAUGUAAAUUCACACGCUGCAUCCAAAGUUUCUGUUUUUCCACUUCACAAACCAAACAAGCUAUCUAAUCAUCCUAAAGACAAAUCUUGGCACAUUAUUUUUAUAAUAGAAUGGAUUUAUACAAGGGGAUAAUUAUUUUUGUUGAAAAGUUUCUGUAAUUCAAGAUUUGCAAAGUUUCCACAGGCAUGAACAAAGUUCAAGGAGCUCCCCCACUUCAAUGGUGCCCGUCUUUCUUACUUUCACUUUUCUUUUUGAAAAAGUUUUAAAUUCCCAACUUUAUUUUUUUGUUUUUAAACUUUAUAAAAGCACACAACAGAAAUAAAAGACUCUCUAAAACUUCCGGGUUGUUUCCCUGGCAGCGCUUUCUUUAAAGCCAUUAAGCUAGGCAUAUAGUGCUCAAGUAAUGGAUCCACCUGGGUCCCAAGGUAUAUCAAAGCCAAUUUUAAUUAAUAAUGAUUUGUGAUUUAGUAGUGAGCACAAAGUAAUAUAUAUCAUGCAACAACGAAGUCUAACUCUCUUCCUAUGCAUCGGCAUGUCAUAAAAGAACAAUUCAUGCACAUCAAGUAAAGGCCAACACAUAGUAUAAACAGUUUCUUGCAAUUUUAUCGUAUUGGAAACAUAGAGAGGCGGAGAUGUAGUUCCUCUCUCAUAAUAAUUGCAAGUAGGAGCAGCAAGCACAUGCAUAUUAUAUUUAUCAAAAUCAUCAUGUGUAGUAGUAAAACGCAACCCACCAAUAUAAUCCUUAAUAAGUGCAAACUUCUCCGAUAUAGUGUAGAUGGGAGAAUUCAAAAAGAUAAUAGGACUAUCAUGCGUGGGUGCAGUAGCGACAAUUUCAUUCUUAACAUAACGAACUAUAGCAAGUUCAUCUCCAUAAGCAUAAUUCAUAUUGGCAUUAUGGCCACAAGCAUAGCAAGCAUCAAGUUCAUCAAAAAGGGAUAUUUCAAACGAAUCAAAGGGAUCAUAGCAAUUAUCAUAGCAAUCAUCCUUCGGUAAGCAUGAUGGGAAAUUAAACAAUGUAUGAGUUGAAGAGUUACUCUCAUUAGAAGAUGGGCAUCGGUGAUCAAUCCACUCUUCCUCCUUUUGUUCUUCGCUCUCCUCGUCAUCUUUUUCAUCCAAUGAGCUCAUAGUGUCAUCAAUUUCUUUUUCCAUAGUUUCCUGCAAAAUAUUAGUCUCUUCUUGGACAGCGGAGACUUUCUCAAUAAACUUAUCAAUAUCAGCAUUGUAUUCAUAAUUCUCAUAGCAAUAUUUAAGUAUAGCAAAAUUUUCAGGCCUAUAAACAUCAUCAUCAAAAGCUUCAUACUUUGCAAACAAAGAUUCAAUUUCAUAAGCACCCUUAAAAGCAACAAAUUCUUCUAUUCAUUCCACAUCAUAGUAAUCAUAUCUAGCAUUAGCAUAAGAAGCUAAGGUUUCAUUAUCAUUAAAUUUGCAUGAAAAGGGAAGGUGUGAAGCCUUCAUCCUAGAGCAACAAGUAAAAUCAUAUCUCUGGCAUAAAUUCCAAGCAUACCAAUGCAACAUAUCAAUUUGAUCCCAUAAUAGUUUCCCUUUUCGAGUCAAGCGACAAUCCCUAAAUAUGAUCCCAUAUCUGCAGUUAUGCUCAAUGGUGUCCCUGGUAAGAAAUUUUACUGCAGGAGAGGAGUGAGGCAGGGUGAUCCCUAUUCACCUCUGAUUUUUGUCUUAGCUGCUGAUCUGCUUCAAUCCAUUCUUAACAAAGCCAUGAGAUUAGGGAUUGUGACCCCUCCUUUGCAAGUCAACUCAUGCCCUGAUUUCCCAAUAGUUCAAUAUGUUGAUGACACCUUGGUUCUCAUGAGAGCAAAUGCAAGGCAACUCAUCUGCCUCAAGUCUCUAUUGAAUACUUUUGCAGAAGCCACAGGUUUGAAAGUGAAUUAUGGGAAGUCCAGCAUGGUGCCCAUUAACAUUGCAGAAGACAGAGUUAGCAUUUUCACAAAUACCCUAUAGUGCAGUAGAGGAGUAUUCCCUUUUACUUACUUGGGAUUGCCCUUGGGAACCCACAAACCUACUAUGGAGCAAUGUUUGCCAUUAGUCCAAAGAAUUGCAAAAGAUUAGCUGGGCUCUCAACUUUCAUGAAACAAGCUGGAAAAUUACUCCUGGUAAAAUCAGUACUGACAUCUCUUACAAUUUUCUUCAUGUGCUGCCUGGAUGUUCCUGUCACCAUCAAGCAACAAAUCAUCAAAUAUCUGCGACACUGUCUAUGGAGGAGCCCUGAUAUGGAAGAUCGCAGACAUGCCCUAGCAGCAUGGAAAACUGUUUGUAGACCAAAAAACCAAGGAGGACUUGGUGUUAUGGACAUCUUCGCACGGAACAAGACUCUGCUUAUGAAAAACCUCCACAAGUUUUAUAACAGACAUGAUAUACCCUGGGUGCACCUCAUUUGGGAGUCUUACUACAGUAAUGGGCAAUUACUAGGAGACAACAUGGUUGGGUCUUUUUGGUGGAAGUCUAAUUUGGCACUCAUUGGUCAGUACAAAGCUAUUGCAAGAUGCAAUAUAGGGGAUGGAAAAAGUGCCCUCUUUUGGGAUGAUUGUUGGCAUGAUUUUGUGUUGAAGCACAAGUUUCAUCACCUCUAUUCUUUUGCUCGAGAUACAGCCAUAAAUGUCCACCAAGUGAUUCACACUGAGUACCUGCAGGACCUUUUUCACUUACCAUUGACAACCCAAGCCUAUGAGGAAUUUCUGGAAAUGGAGAAUAUAUGUAUCACACUGAGAACUUCAGAGCACUUGGAACUCCGAGACACAUGGAGUUAUAUUUGGGGUAAUGAAUUUUACUCAUCCAUUAAGGCAUACAAUGUAUUAAUUGGAUUUAAACAAACUCCCCCUCAUUUUGGUUGGAUAAGGAAGAGCUCAUGCCAGCCAAAGCACAAGGUGUUCUUCUGGAUGCUGCUACAUGAUAGAGUCAAUACAAGAAACCUACUGAGAAGAAAGAAUUUUGAGCUGGAAGAUUACAACUCUGCUGUGAGUAACUGACAACAGGAAGAGACACUGCACCACCUCUUUUGGAGUUGCCCCUUUGCAUCACAAUGUUGGGAUUUCAUAUGCCCAGCAGAGCACACAACUUGUCAGUCUUAGAAGCUUUUCAAGAUCUCAAGAACAAACUGAACAAACCUUUCUUCAUGGAGAUCAGCAUUCUUGGAUCUUGGGCUAAAAGUUUUGAGCAUAUUAACCCCUCCUUCCAGGGUUGGAAGUUCAUUUUCUUGGAGGAGUUGAAGCUAUUAAGAUACAGGAUGAAGAAAAAGUAUGCUUAGCAGUUCUCUGCAUGGUUGGAGUCCAUCUUGUAAUUUCUACUUUUCUGUUGUACAGUAGGUUGUUUAGUUUUUCUCUUCUUCUUUUUUCUUUCUUUUUCUUUUUCUUUUGUUGCUUAGCUAGUUUAGUUCUUUAGUUUAGUUUAGUUUUUUCUGUUUUUUCUCUGGCUUAUCUCAAGCCUUUGUAUUAGACCUCUUUUUAUUUUAAUAAAAGUUGCAGUGGGGUUUUUACCCUACUGUUUAUAGUCAAAAAAAGUAUUCACAUUGAUCCAACGUGUCUCCCAUUAUCAAGUUGAACAGGGUUUUCUCAGGAUUAUCAAAGUAGUAUUUAAUAUUUUCCACAUAACGAGCAUCGAGGGCUUUAGGAGGUUCCCCAUAUCCAUCAGUAGCAAGUACACCUAAUUUUUUUUUGGUAUUUUGUGUUCAAUAUCCAUAACUGAAGAUAGAGAACAGCUUAGAACAGCAAAUAAAAUCUACUUAGUGAUAAAGCAAACAAGCACACACAAGAAUAUUCACCCCACGCUAUUGCUCCCCGACAACGGCGCCAGAAAAAGGUUUUGAUAACCCACAAGUGUAGGGGAUCAGUUGUACCCUUUCUCGAUAAAUAAGAGUGUCGAACCCAACGAGGAGCUAAAGGUAGAACAAAUAUUCCCUCAAGUUCUAUCGACCACCAUACAACUCUACGCAUGCUUAAGGUUCGCUUUACCUAGAACAAGUAUGAAACUAGAGGUACUUUGUAGGUGUGAUAGGAUAGGUUUGCAAGAUAAUAAAGAGCACAUAAAAAAAUCUAGGGGCUGCUUAGAUAAAGAAACAACUAAGUUAGUUUUAGUAGAGAGCUUUUUGUCACAAGAAAGUUAUUUGUCCCUAGGCAAUCGAUAACUAGACCGGUGAUCAUUAUUGCAAUUUAUAUGAGGGAGAGGCAUAAGCUAACAUACUUUCUCUUCUUGGAUCAUAUGCACUUAUGAUUGGAACUCUAGCAAGCAUCCGCAACUACUAAAGAUCAUUAAGGUAAAACCCAACCAUAGCAUUAAAGUCAAGUCCUCUUUACUCCCAUACGCAAACAACCUACUUACUCGGGUUUAAGCUUUUGUCACUCUAGCAACCCACCAUAAGCGAAUCAUGAACAUAUUGCAAACCCUACAACGGGGAUCCCUCAUGCUUGCGUGACACGGAGAGCACCAUAGGACAACACCAAUAAUAAAACAUACAACUCAAACCAAUCACGAUCAUCAAUUAAACCAUAGGACAAAACGGAUCUACUCAAACAUCAUAGGAUAGCCAUACAUCAUUGGGAAAUAAUAUAUAGCGUUGAGCACCAUGUUUAAGUAGAGAUUACAGCAGGGAGAAGAGGUGUUACACUGCUCCAUAGAGGAGGAGAGAGUUGGUGAUGACGGCGGCGAAGUUGUUGGUGUAGAUCGCCGUCACGAUGAUGGCCCCGGCGGUGUUCCGGCGCCACCGGGAGAGAGGGGGAGAGAGCCCCCUACUCCUUCUUCUUCUUCUUCCUUGACCUUCCCCCUAGAUGGGAGAAGGGGUUCCCCUCCGGUCCAUGGCCUCCAUGGCGGUGGAGGGGCGGGGUAUAGAAGGGAAAGGGGCGGUGAAAAAUAAAUUGAAAAAAGCAGAAACAUUUAGUCCCAGUUGGUAACACCAACCGGGACUAAAGGUCAUUCACCCCACUCCGCCCACGUGAGGGGCCUUUAGUCCCGUUCCAUAGCAAACCGGAACUAAACGGGGGGGAGGGGGCUUUAGUCCCGAUUUGCUAGUCCCGGUUUCCCAACCAGGACUGUUGCCCUGUUUUCUAUUAGUGUGUGUACAACGGAGGCCGCGGUGUACGACGGUGGCUGUAGUGUACGGCGAAAGCGCCGUGGUGCCAUGUACGUAUGCAGUACUGGAGGAACCGCCACCGCCGCGGCUGCUGCCCUAUUGUGGCUCGACUAGGCUGAAGGUUAAUGGGCGAUGGAUUUGGCAGAGAAUCGUGGGUACCAGACAUACUUCGGUAUGUUAUAAUCAAUGGCUAGUAAAAGUCAUGUCAUAAUCAACGUCUAAAAAAAUUAUACUUGACGGUACCGGAGGGUACCACGAGUACCGUCCCAAUCACCGUAAAAGAGCUCGAAAACCAAAUCUGAAAGACCAUAUAUUACCAUUGAGAUAAACAAUAGCAUUAAAAUUGAGAAAGAAAACGAGAAAAAAAUAUGAAUAUAUAGCCUACGGUAGAUACUUGCUUGAUUGGUGCUAUGUAAUUUUAGUACUCUUUGAACUCUAUUCUUAUCCUGAUGCAAAUUUUAAGAUUUCGUAUACCAAUUAAGGAAAUAAAUAAAUUAGGCCUAAAUAUCUAUGGAAGGCAUCAAAUUAAAACUAGCCGAUAUGAUGCCCAAAAUUAUUUUUUCCCACAAAAGAUAACCAUGCAUGUUAAUACUAUUGGACUAUAAGUACAGAUCCCCACGAUGUUGAUCUAGAAAGAACAUCAUACACACACAUUAGCUUAUCGAUAUGUAGCGAUCUGACCUCACACGGUCGAAUCUCUGUGCAUAAGUGUCAUCCCUGGAUCGGUAAUGCUGACACACACAGUACUCGAAGGCUUUAUAACAGAGUAGCAAUCAGACACUUAUUACAUCGAUAGUCCCAAUAUAGAACUUAUUAUAAUAAAUAUGGCUUAAGGCCAUCUAAAUAAGACAACAGCGGAAGGCUUGGAAGAUAAAGUGAGUCCAUCAACUCCAACGGCAUAGCUGAGUGCACGACACGGCCUAGCGAACCUUACUCUUCGUCUGAAAAGUCUGCAACAUGAUAUGUUGCAACCCGAAAAUGGGUCAGCACAUGGAAUAUGCUGGCAAUGUAACACAGUAGAGCAGUGAACAGAAUAAAAGCUAUCACUACAUGCAUAUAUGGCUGGUGGAGGCUCUAUGGUUACAAUGUUUUGCGAAAAGCCAAUUUUUUCCUACAACAAAGGAAUAUAUUUUAUUUAACUAUCAUGGUAGUUGAAACAUUGAUAAUGGUACCCCCAUCUCAAUCCAAAAUUAAAAGUAAUUAUCAACCCAACAAAUUAAAUUAGAGUGAUGAGAUCAACAUGAUAAUCCAAGAACCAGAUACUCAAGAUAUCCAUAACCGGGGACACGGCUAACCAUGAUUAGUUUGUACACUCUACAGAGGUUUGCGCACUUUUCCCCACAAGACUCGAUCUCCUCCGUUGGAUCUCUCAUACUUCAAGGUGUUUGAGAAAUGGAUGACCGAGACACGGUCUUUCAGAAGCAUUAACUCUAACCCCGGGUAGACAAUACCAACCUACAUCCCCUACAUCUGCUAGCCUACCACGGAAGAGGUCAUGCAACAUACUCAACUAUGCUAGAGCCCAUAAUAGCUUGUGGCUGCACACGAAAAUUUCUAGCAUGAACAAUCUUAUGAUCCCUUUGAGCCUGGGUGGCGGACCAUAGGAGGAUCACACGGUAUAACCCCGGGAUCUCCUAGGACAACACUGGUAUAACCCCAGGUGCCCAAACCAACAAUCCACCCAGAUGUGUAUUAAAGUUGCCACCUUAAGUUGAUCCAUUAAUUAACAAUCUUACAUCUGUCAUGGAUACACUCAAACCCAAUCCACGUCUACGAGCAUAGCAUGGCAACAUAAGCAUAGCGUAGAAGUAACUCCCAAGGGAUUGAUAAUAAAACAGGUAAUAGGUUCUACCUCAUCAUCUACUUCCCAAAACCCACAUGUUAUCAAAUCCUAACCAUGCAAUGUUUGAGGGUUGUAACUAAUGCAUAAAAACUGGGUAUGAAAAGAGUAUGAUCAAUGUGUUACUUGCCUUGCUGACGAUCUGCAAACCCUAGAGACUCGUAGUAGCGCGCUUCGCACUCCGGGAAUUCUAUCACAAACAAACAAUAGCAUACAUAAGCACUCAAGAAAAUAUGCACAUGUAAAUCUCAAACAAGAAGAUCGAAUCUGAAAACUCAACUGAAGAGAUUCGGUUUGCAAAAAGAAUCAAUCGAAUCGGAGCUACGGAACUGAAACUACGGUCAAAAGAACUUCGAAUUCAAAUCUGCUUGAAACCAAAUUUUAAAUUUUCGAAACCUUGUUCGAGUUGAUUAAACAUAAAGAGGGACUCCAUACGAAGAUUUUGGCGUUGGUUUCACUGGAUUUGGACAAACGGUUUAGAAAUGGCGAGGGUUUGAACAUCAGGGGCUAAUCUGCGAUAAAAAUAAUCGCGGAUAAGUCCCUGGCAAAAAAUAAAAAGAAAAGACUAACGAAAGAAUGUUCGCUGUCUGAACCUAACCGGCGAACAACGUUCGUUAAAACGAACGAUCGGACGAAUGUCCGCUAAAUAAAUAAACCGACGAAAAACCGAACCGAUCUAUAAAAAAAUAGAUCUAGGGUUUUGUGUAAAAAAACAAGACGGUUUUCUGAAAACGAGGCGCGGUGGCGGCUAGGGUUUCGGGCGGCGGGCUGGCGGCUUGGACUGGCAGGGCGGUCGGGCCUCGCCUUUUAAAGGGGCCGGCCGGGGAAGUCCGGCUCGGGCACGGCCCGUAGGUCGGUUCAUUUUUUUUAACGGACGGAGUAAAAUAAGUAAAAGAAAUACCAAACAAAGUCCACAAAUCCUAAAAUAAAUUUUCACGGUCCUCUAAUAAUAUUUUGGACAAAGUGAACAUUUAUUUGGGCUAAUAAUCCAAUUUUGAAAAAUGCUCAUUUUUUAAUUCAAAUAAAAUAGCAAUAAAAUCCAAGUAAAAUUAUUUAUUUGAUUUUAACAUUUUUCCUCCAAUAUUUCAUUUAUUUUGGAGAAGUCAUAUUGUCUCCUCUCAUAUAUUUUAAUUAUGAAAUAAUUUUUUUUGAGAGAAAAAUAAUAAAACCAAAAUGAUCCUCUUUCCAAUAUUUGAGAAAAGUCAAAUAUGAAAAUAAUAAAAUCCCCAACUCUCUCCGUGGGUCCUUGAGUUGCUUAGAAUUUUUAGGAUCACUACCAAAAUGCAAAUAAAAUAUGAUAUGCAUAUGAUGACCUAUGUAUAACAUUCCAAGUUGAAAAUCUGGGAUGUUACUAACCUACCCCCCUUAAGAUGAAUCUCAUCCUCGAGAUUCGGGUUGGCUAGAAAAUAGGUGUGGGUGGUCUUUGCGUAGAUCAUCCUCUCGUUCCCAGGUGGCUUCAUCCUCGGUAUGGUGGCUCCACUAAACUUUGCAAAACUUGAUAACCUUGCUGCGAGUAACUCGGCUGGCAAACUCGAGAAUCUUGACUGGUUUCUCCUCGUAGGUCAGAUCACUAUCCAACUGAAUGGCUUCCAGGGGCACUGUAUCUCUCAGAGGAAUAUCGGCCAUCUCAGCAUGGCACUUCUUCAACUGGGAAACGUGAAACACAUCAUGAACUCCUGACAGUCCUUCGGGUAACUCCAACUUGUAGGCCACCUCUCCCAUACGUUCCAAAACUCGGUAUGGUCCUACAAAUCUGAUGGUUAACUUUCCCUUAACUCCAAAGCGUUUAACUCCUCGCAGUGGUGAUACACAGAGAUAUGCUCUGUCUCCGAUUUCAUAGACUACCUCCUUGCGUUUUGAGUCUGCAUAACUCUUCUGCCUGGACUGAGCUACCUUCAGUCUGUCUCGAAUCAGCUUAACCUUCUCUUCUGACUCUUUGAUCAAAUCUGGUCCAAACAACUGACAGUCUCCAACUUCAUCCCACAUCAACGGUGUCCUGCACCUCCUUCCAUACAAGGCUUCGAAAGGUGCCAUCUUCAAACUGGCCUGGUAGCUAUUGUUGUAUGAGAACUCCGCGUAGGGCCUCGAAUCAGCUUAACCUUCUCUUCUGACUCUUUGAUCAAAUCUGGUCCAAACAAUUGACAGUCUCUAACUUCAUCCCACAUCAACGGUGUCCUGCACCUCCUUCCAUACAAGGCUUCGAAAGGUGCCAUCUUCAAACUGGCAUGGUAGCUAUUGUUGUAUGAGAACUCCACGUAGGGCAAGUUGUCAUCCCAACUAGAUCCAUUAUCUAGCGCACAAGCUCUCAACAUGUCCUCCAGAAUCUGAUUGACUCUCUCGGUCUGUCCAUCUGUCUGCGGAUGAAAGGCUGUACUAAACCCUAGCCUGGUACCCAAAGUCUGGUGCAGCUGGUGCCAAAACUUUGAAGUAAACUGCGUUCCUCUACCUGAUACGAUGGUCCUCGGAACUCCGUGCAGACAUACGAUCCUGGUCAUAUAUAGCUUGGCCAACUUUGCACUUGUAUAGGUGGUCUUCACUAGGAUAAAGUGAGCCACUUUGGUCAAACGAUCCACUACUACCCAGAUAGAAUCAUAUCCUGAUCGGGUACUGGGUAAUCCCGUGAUAAAAUCCAUGCCAAGCUUAUCCCACUUCCAUUCGGGUAUCGGCAUAGGUUGCAAUAAUCCUGCUGGCUUCUGAUGUUCUGCCUUCACUCUUUGACAUACAUCACAUACAGCUACAUACUCGGCAAUAUCCUUCUUCAUACCAGUCCACCAGAAAUGCUCCUUCAAAUCCAAAUACAUCUUGGUGUUUCUGGGGUGUAUCGAGUAUGGUAAGUCAUGAGCUUCCUGUAGUAUCAGCUUCCUGAUCUCUGCAUUAUUGGGCACAUAAACACGGUCCUCAAACCACAAGGUGUCGUGCUCAUCCUCACGAAAACCUUUGGCUUUUCCCUUGCUCAUCCUCUGCUUUAUCUCGGCAAUUUCCUUGUCAUCCUUCUGAGCUUCUCGAAUCUUUCUCAAUAAUGUUGACUGAACCUCCAUGGCUGCGACAAAACCUCUAGGGACUAUCUCCGAACGAAGCUCCCUGAUAUCCUCGGCUAACUCCUUUGGCAAUCCUCCGAUUACGAGGGUAUUGGCAUAACUCUUCCGGCUCAAAGCAUCCGCUACGACAUUGGCCUUCCCUGGGUGAUAAUGUAGCUUCAUAUCAUAAUCCUUUAUAAGCUCCAACAAUCUCCUUUGCCUGAGAUUUAGCUCCUUCUGCAUGAAAAUGUACUUCAAACUCUUAUGAUUCGUGUACACAUCACAACGAUUUCCAAUAAGAAAGUGUCUCCAGGUCUUGAGCGCAUGCACUACGGCUGCUAACUCCAAAUCAUGCGUGGCAUAAUUCAACUCAUGCGGUCGAAGUUGACGCGAGGCAUAUGAAACAACUCUUCCAUCUUGCAUGAGUACACCUCCAAGUCCUAAGCGAGACACAUCGCAAUACACUUGGAACUCCUUACGUAUAUCUGGCAGAAUCAGCACUGGGGCUGUAACCAAACGUUUCUUCAGCUCCUGAAAACCUGUCUCACAUUCAUCUGUCCAUUUGAACUUGGUGUCCUUCUUCAACAACUCCGUCAUAGGCUUCGCAAUCUUAGAAAAAUUCUCAUUGAAUCUCCGGUAAUAUCCCGCGAGUCCUAGAAAACUGCGGAUCUCUCCAACUGAGGUGGGUGAUAGCCAGUCAGUGACUGACUUAACCUUGGUAGGAUCCAUGGCUAUACCCUCUCCUGAUAUAACAUGUCCAAGGAAUCCAAAUUCUUUCAACCAAAAUUCACAUUUGCUGAACUUGGCAUAUAACUGAUGUUCCCUGAGCUUCUCGAGAACUAAACGCAAAUGCUCCUUAUGUUCCUCUUCAUUUUUCAAGUACACCAAAAUAUCAUCAAUGAACACCACGACAAACUUAUCGAAGAACUCCAUGAACACCUUAUCCAUCAUACUCAUGAAAUAGGCUGGGGCAUUAGUCAAUCCAAAUGAAUAACCGUGUACUCAUAUAGCCCGUACCUUGUGGUGAAAGUUGUCUUGGGUAUAUCCUGUUCUCGGAUCUUCAGCUGGUGGUAUCCUGAUCGCAGGUCAAUCUUGGAAAAUACUUUAGCUCCCUGCAGCUGGUCAAACAAAUCAUUGAUCAUCGGUAGUGGGUACUUGUUCUUGAUCGUCACUUCAUUCAAUGCCCGAUAAUCAACAACCAUUCUCAAAGAUCCAUCCUUCUUCUCAACCAAGAGCACUGGGGCUCCCCAUGGUGACGAACUUCGUCGAAUGUAACCUUUCUCCAAUAACUCCUUGAUCUGCUUUUUGAUCUCUUCCAAAUCAUUUGCGGGCAUCCAGUAUGGUCUCUUCGAUAUUGGUCCGGUGCCUGGCAACAGCUCUAUCAAAAACUCAAUGUCUCGAUCCGGUGGCAUGCCGGGUAACUCCUCUGAAAAUACAUCCGGAUAAUCCUUCACUAUAGGCACUUCCUCCUAAACAAUUCCCGUGAGAGAAUUUACUUGGGUCCUCCUCGACGCAUGCCUGCAUAUAUACUUGAUCCUUUUUCCCUCCGGGGUGGUGAGUAGAAUUGACCUACUAGCACAGUCAAUGUUUCCUCCAUACUUCGAUAGCCAAUCCAUUCCCAGUAUCACAUCCAAUCCUUGUGACUCCAAAAUUAUUAGGUCUGAGGGGAAAAUAUGGCUACCAAUGGUUAAGGGUAUCCGAUCGCACCAUCGGCUGGCCAUAUACUCUGCUCCUGGUGAGCUUACUAACAAAGGUGUCCUAAGGGCUAAGGUGGGUGACUUAAACUUGUCCACAAAUCCCCUUGAAAUGUAUGAAUGCGAUGCACCAGUAUCAAAAAGAACGAGAGCGAUAAAUGACUUAACCAAAAACUUACCGAUCACUGCAUCUGGUUGCUCUUCAACCUCCUCCAUGUUCACGUGGUUUAGUUGUCCCCUGUUGAAAGGGUUGGGCUUCUUCCCAGAGCUUCCAUUUCCAUUGCCAUUCUUCAACUCAGGACAAUCAUUGGCGUAGUGUCCAGUCUUCCCGCAUUUGAAACAAGUAAUGUGACUUUGAUCCUUCUUGGCGGGUGUGGCUGGGUUAGCGUGGUUCUUCUGAUUGCUGCCUGCUCCAUUCCCGUUUCCAUUCUUGGGGCCACUGUGGUUAUGCGAACUUCCUCCAUUGUGGGUAUGGCCUCCAUGGUUAUGGGUAAAUCCUCCCGAGUUCGGGGUGAAACGAGGCUUCCGCUGAGCUCCUGAAUUGUACUUCCCUUGUCCAUACUUCCUCUUGCGGCUCUCAAUCUGCUGCUGCUUCCCUUCAAUCAUAAGAGCCUUAUCUACCAACUCCUGGUAGUUGUUAAACGUUGCCACCAUUAACUGCAUGCUCAUCUCAUCAUUCAGCCCUUCCAUAAAUUUCUCCUGCUUCGUGGCAUCUGUGGCCACAUCAUUUGGGGUAUAGCGAGAUAACUUACUAAACUCAUCUACGCAGUAUGGUUUUCCUGGCGUAAGUUGCGAAACUCACGCUUCUUCAUACUCAUAGCUCCAGUUGAGACAUGAGCAGUGCGGAAUGCUUGCUGAAACUGAUCCCAGGUGAUAUUGGCUAUAGGGAAAGUGGUCGUGUAAUUCUCCCACCAUGCGGCUGCGGGUCCAUCCAAUUGAUGUGUGGCAAAACGCACCUUCUCAGCAGCUGUGCAACCUGCGGUGGUCAACUUCCUUCCAAUCCUGCGCAGCCAGUCAUCAGCAACUAUUGGCUCGGUGCUACUAGAAAACACUGGCGGCUGCAACCUUAGAAAAUGGGCUAAGUUGUCAACUGGAGGUGGUGGCGGCGGGUUGUUGUUGUUGUUGCCUUGGUUCUGGACUAGUAGCUGCAUCAAGGCAUUCUGUUGUUGGAUCAACUGAGUGAGCUCCGGUGGGAAGACAAUCAGGGGUCGCGUCUCGGAGGCAUCUGAUGGUUUAGAGGGGAGAGAUUAGAAUAGAAUGAGGUCUAGUGAGAAAGCACUACCCAUAUGCACAUGAGACAAACACAUACAUAUCACACCAAUUCAAUCCAAGCAAGGGCAUAUAGUCGAUCUAACUAUCGUUAAAGUGCUCGGACUACUAAUAUAUACAUGGGGGAAUACUACUAAUCAUAUGGUGGCCAUCUAGAAAUUUUGAUCGAUGGAAGACUCCAUGAUAUCUGCUCCAGCUUCGUCUUCAUAAUCAUCAUCACUAUUAUCGGGGUCGGGGUCGGAGUCGGUGUCGUCAAUGAUGAUGUAGUCUUCAGAACGAAUGUCAUCAGAAUGGUCGUCAUCUCCUCCUGGCGCGGGGUCUCCCAUGAAUACUCCUAGCUUCCUUGUCAGGUCGUCAUUCUUCUCCACUAGUAUUGCUAUUUCCUCCUCGUAUCUGUCGCGUGUAGACUAGAGUUCCUCUUCUAGAUCCAUGUUCCUGGUCAUCGCCUUCUUCAGGUCUAUCAUGCUUGCACACAUCUGGUUCUCCUGUCGUCGAAUGUGCUGGUUUAACUCUAGGAUGAAAGCUGCAAUGGACCUGUCCCUCCUGGUGCUGAUCAUCUCCCAUUGCUCAUCUCGGCGCCCACAUAUCUGGUAGAUGGUGUCCUUAAGUUCCUUGUGAUAAACUUCGCCGAUGCGUCCCAUGGCGAUGUGGGCUGCCAUGCUCUUUCCUAGACUCCAGGUUGGUGCAUCGAAGGAAAACUCUAUGGGCUCAGUGACUGGUGUGAAUGUCCUUCCUGGAACUUGAACUCGAAUCAUCCAACGCUCCUCUUCUGGUAAAGUGGCGGUGUAGGUCCCGGUGAAGCUUGGUAUCCCAAUGUUCAGGUACCUAGUGACUUCCUUCAAGUGUCGUCCAAAAGGUGUGUCUUCAUCCGGUUGUGCAAACUUGUUCCUUGCGUCCGCCAUCCUAUAGAGUAGAAAAUGGAGAGGAGUCAGAAAUGAGUAGAGAAGAGUGACCUAUGGCUUAUCUUAGUGGUCGUGUCCUACAUUCAGCGUGUGCUCUCAUACCAUCUUGUAGCGAUCCGACCUCAGACGGUCGAAUCUCCGUGCAUAAGUGUCAUCCCUAGAUCGGUAAUGCUGACACACACAGUACUCGAAGGAUUUAUAACAGAGUAGCAAUCACACACUUAUUACAUCGAUAGUCUCAAGAGAGAACUUAUUACAAUAAAUAUGGCUUAAGGCCAUCUAAAUAAGAUAACAGCGGAAGGCUUGGAAGAUAAAGUGAGUCCAUCAACUCCAACGGCAUAGCUGAGUGCACGACAAUGGCCUAGCGAACCUUACUCUUCGUCUAAAAAUUCUGCAACAUGAUAUGUUGCAUCCCGAAAAUGGGCCAGCACAUGGAAUAUGCUGGCAAUGUAACACAGUAGAGCAGUGAACAGAAUAAAAGCUAUCACUACAUGCAUAUAUGGCUAGUGGAGGCUCUAUGGUUACAAUGUUUUGUGAAAAGCCAAAUUUUCCCUACAACAAAGGAAUAUAUUUUAUUUAACUAUAAUGGUAGUUGAAACAUUGAGAAUGGUACCCCCACCUCAAUCCCAAAUUAAAAGUAAUUACCAACUCAACAAAUUAAAUUAGAGUGAUGAGAUCAACAUGAUAAUCCAAGAACCAGAUACUCAAGAUGUCCAUAACCAGGGACACGGCUAACCAUGAUUAGUUUGUACACUCUGCAGAGGUUUGCGCACUUUUCCCCACAAGACUCGAUUUCCUCCGUUGGAUCUCUCGUACUUCAAGGUGUUUGAGAAACAGAUGACUGAGACACAGUCUUUCAGAAGCAUUAACUCUAACCCCGGGUAGACAGUACCAACCCACAUCCCCUACAUCUGCAAGCCUACCAGUGGAAGAGGUCAUGCAACAUACUCAACUAUGCUAGAGCCCAUAAUAGCUUGUGGCUGCACACGGAAGUUUCUAGCAUGAACAAGCUUAUGGUCCCUUUGAGCCUGGGUGGCGGACCAUAGGAGGAUCACACGGUAUAACCCCGGGAUCUCCUAGGACAACAUUGGUAUAACCCCAGGUACCCAAACCAACAAUCCACCCAGAUGUGUAUUAACGUUGCCACCUUAAGUUGAACCAUUAAUUAACAAUCUCACAUCUGUCAUGGAUACACCCAAACCCAAUCCACGUCUACGAGCAUAGCAUGGCAACAUAAGCAUAGCGUAGAAGUAACUCCCAAGGGUUUGAUAAUAAAACAGGUAAUAGGUUCUGCCUCAUCAUCUACUUCCCAAAACCCACAUGUUAUCAAAUCCUAACCAUGCAAUGUUUGAGGAUUGUAACUAAUGCAUAAAAAAGGGGUAUGAAAAUAGUAUGAUCAAUGUGUUACUUGCCUUGCUGACGAUCUGCAAACCCUAGAGACUCGUAGUAGCACGCUUCGCACUCCGGGAAUUCUAUCGCAAACAAACAAUAGCAUACAUAAGCACUCAAGCAAAGAUGCAAAGGUAAAUCUCAAAUAAUAAGAUCAAAUCUGAAAACUCAACUGAAGAGAUUCGAUUUGCAAAAAGAAUUAAUCGAAUCGGAGCUACGGAACUGAAACUACAGUCAAAAGAAUUUCGAAUUCAAAUCUGCUUGAAACCAAAUUUUAAAUUGUCGAAACCUUGUUCAAGUUGAUUAAACAGAAGAGGGACUCGAGACGAAGAUUUUGGCGUUGGUUUCACUGGAUUUGGACAAACGGUUUAGAAACGGCGAGGGUUUGAAGAUCAGGGGCUAAUCUGCGAUAAAAAUAAUCACGGAUAGGUCCCUGGCAGAAAAAUAAAAAAUAAAAGACUAACGAACGAACGUUCGCUGUCUGAACCUCACCGGCGAACAACGUUCGCUAAAACGAACGAUCGGACGAACGUCCGCUAAAUAAAUAAACCAACGAAAAACCGAACCGAUCUAUAAAAAAACAAAUCUAGGGUUUUCUGGAAAAAAACGACGAAAAACCGAACCGAUCUAUAAAAAAAUAGAUCUAGGGUUUUCUGAAAAAAACUGAGACGGUUUUUACCUAACCGAGCAAAAAGACCGGCGGCGGCGGCUAACUCCAGCGGGGCUCCGGCGGUGGCGACGGCGGUGUCGGCGGGUGGCGGCGGCGCGGUGGCGGCGCAGGCGGCGACAGCGACGCAGAAAUCGAGGCGGCGGAAAACGAGGCGCGGCGGCGGCUAGGGUUUCGGGCGGCGGGGCUGGCGGGGCGGUCAGGCCUCGCCUUUUAAAGGGGCCGGCCGGGGAAGUCCGGCUCGGGCACGGCGCGUAGGUCGUUUCUUUUUUUUAACGAACGGAGUAAAAUAAAUUAAAAAAAUACCAAACGAAGUCCAAAAAAUCCUGAAAUAAACUUUCACAGUCCUCUAAUAAUAUUUCGGACAAAGUCAAAAUUUAUUUGGGCUAAGAAUGCAAUUUUGAAAAAUGCACAUUUUUCUAAUUCAAAUAAAAUAGCAAUAAAAUCCAAAUAAAAUUAUUUAUUUAAUUUUAACAUUUUUCCUUCAAUAUUUCAUUUAUUUUAUAGAAGUCAUGUUAUCUCCUCUCAUAUAUUUUAAUUAUGAAAUAAUUUUUUUUUGGAGAGAAAAAUAAUAAAACCAAAAUGAUCCUCUUUCCAAUAUUUGAGAAAAGUCAAAUAUGAAAAUAAUAAAAUCCCCAACUUUCUCCGUGGGUCCUUAAGUUGCUUAGGAUUUUUAGGAUCACUACCAAAAUGCAAAUAAAAUAUAAUAUGCAUAUGAUGACCUAUGUAUAACAUUCCAAAUUGAAAAUUCGGGAUGUUACAGAUAUGGCAUGGCACACGAAGAGCAAUAAGGUGUGGAUAUGCUUGUGGCUUGUGAUGAUACUUCUCUUGUCAUCCGGUAGAAAAUACGAUCAACCCACACAUGAUCUCUAGAACAGAGUGAAGCGUCUUAAUUUUAGCUGAUUUUUAUUGUUUGUUGUUGUAUGCGGAAGAGAUUGGAUAAGAUGGAUGUGACAAACAGGUUAGCAAGACAUGGGCGAAAAGCUUACCAUGUGUUGUGAACGGCAAAUGGAACAACCCCUGCAAGAACGAGGGGUUCGAUAGCGGACGGUGCACGAAAUUUAGUACUCCCUCCGUCCCAAAAUAUAAGAAUGUUUUUUACACUAGUAUAAUGUUAAAAACUUUGUUAUAUUUCGGGAUGGAGGGAUGCUUAUGCUAUAAGAACUGCACCGGCGUACGGCGAUUGCUGUAGCGAUAUAUAUUUUAUUGAAUAAAUAAAUCAAGAAGCUCCUUAGCCAGAUUUGUAUGCUUUUAAUUUUUAAGAAAAGAAAUAAAGAAACGCGACACCGGUUGAAAAGGCAUGACUCCAAGCGGUCGGCUCCAACUUUUCUUAUUCGUUUUCAUACUACCUCGUAUUCACGCAUGGAUGACCAGGGCUUCAGACAUACAAUGGAUCUGCUAUUUUAUUUUUUUAAUCAAGAACUACUAAAAUGCACGUGCGCUACUAUGGGAGCGAGAAUAUUUUAGUAGGUCGCUCCUACUAAAAUAGGUUGUUAUGAGUAACGUGUGAGAUUUUUAACAUGAGGAGGUGUUGGGAUGUAAUCGAAUCGGACCGGAUUUUGUCUCUACCAUAUUUUUUUCUCGAGUUCAGGUCAGAUCGUAUAAUGAACAGUUUCAGAUUCGGCGGCGGAUAUAAAUGAUCAUGGAUUCGAAACGGAAACGUAGCGGAUUCGGGGCGGAAAUAAAGUUAAUCGGAUCGGUACGCGCAAUGUACAUCAUCAACCCACAAAACCAAAAAUAAUGGCUCAACAACUUCAUAAACUAACAAAGUUUUAUUUCAUAGCGGAAACUAUCUUUUACUCCCGGACACCAGUGCUCCUAUCACUAAAAAAAAUCGAAAAUCAUAUUUAUUAGUUUCAAAAAUUUCUGAAAACAAAU
Molecule: long non-coding RNA, 85662 nt
Filed under: Triticum aestivum (bread wheat)
Lineage: Eukaryota; Viridiplantae; Streptophyta; Magnoliopsida; Poales; Poaceae
Description: long non-coding RNA (TAES_LNC024281)
Source: RNAcentral